This 48777-nucleotide long non-coding RNA is filed under the name Citrus maxima (pomelo). RNAcentral's name for it is "long non-coding RNA (CMAX_LNC000106)". Lineage: Eukaryota; Viridiplantae; Streptophyta; Magnoliopsida; Sapindales; Rutaceae. The record is from RNAcentral.
GGAUGGAAGGAUGCUUAGAGAAACAUGUGGGGAAGUUGGCAAUGAUAAAAGAAUUAAAGCUGCACCGGCACUAUCAUCUGAUGCAGCUGUGCAAACAAGACUCCAAACUUGGCCCCAUUUUUCAGUAUCUUGAAAUUCUAAAAGUAUAUAAUUGUCAAAGUCUGUUAAUUCUAUUGCCAUCAUCAUCGGUAUCUUUUGGGAACCUAACAAAACUUGUAGCUUUCGAUUGCAAGAAAUUGAUACACUUAGUAACAUCCUCCACAGCAAAAACUCUGGUGCGACUCGUAACAGUUCAAGUAUAUGGAUGCAGAGCAAUGACAGAGGUGGUAAUAAAUGACAAAGACGGGGUUGAAAAAGAAGAGAUUGUUUUCCGCAAAUUGAAGACGUUGGAUCUGCGUGAUUUAGAUAGCCUCACAAGUUUCUGCUCUGCCAAUUACACCUUCAAAUUCCCAUCUUUGCAAGAUUUGUGGGUGAUUGGUUGUCCCAAGAUGAAGAUUUUCACUACAGGAGAAUCAAUCACGCCUCCAAGAGUAAAUGUCCGGUAUGGAGAGACAGCGGAUCAACGGCGCUGGGCUAAUAAUGAUCUAAACUCAACCAUACAACAAUUACAUGCUGAGAAGGUACGUAUAUACAUGUAUAUACAUCUUUACAAAAUUUGCUUUCUUAAAUACAAUAUAGAUAAGAUAUUUGAUGAAUAAGAAUUUUACUUUCAGCUGUUGGCGGUGCAGUCGGCGAUCUCUACCCAGUACUAAUUUCAUAGGCUUCUUAUGACUUGGGAGUUGUGAAUUUUUAGAAGAAAGCCUCAGCUGGUAAUUAAUUUUUAUUUCAUUUAUUUGAUCUCAUGGCUUGUUUCGCAAUUUCAUCUGAAUUAUUUAGAAUGGGUCAAUCGGCUUACUGUUAAAUUUGGAAUGCAAUUUUAAUGAUUCGUUCAGACUUUUGUGGACAGAUUUUGCAUCAUUGAAUGUCUUCUAGUCUAGUUUAAUUUGAGUAUUUUUUUUCUUUUUUUCUUUUUUUGAGAGUUCCCCUUGUUUUCUAAAAUUUUAUAAUUCCUUGCAUACUUUGUAUGAUAAAAUUUCAUUAAAAGCCUUCAUAUUUUAUAAUUCCUUGAAAACAUCAUUGCUGUUCUGUUAUUUUAGUUUGUUCAUUUAGUUUGGUUUGCUUCACACCUAUCUUUGUUUGGAAACUUUUUUUUAUUUUUUUGAUGAUCUUUCCAAAUGCUCUCCCCUAUGAACACAUAAUUAAGACCAGCUGAAAAUCAUUCAUCGGAUAAAAAAUAAAAAAUAAACAAAAUCUAAUCAGAGCAUUAUGCCUAGAACAAAUCCUUAGACCAUCAAAGCAAAACUCUUCGCUAUGAAAAACUAUAUUGUGGAAAUAUUGUUUGAAAACGUUGGAUACCAAGAAAGGGACUAAUCUGGUCUAGUUUUAUGAGAAGUGCAGAAGAACAGUAUUUUCUCUGUUGUUCCUAUUAAAAUUCUUUACUAUGUGAUUGUAGAAUGUCUGGAUACUGAUGAAGAUUCAGGUAACUCUUCUCCUGUGCAUCAUUUGAAAUAAGUUUUUUUUUUUUUUUUGGUAAUAUCUCCUACUGGGUUAUAGUUCAUACAAAGAGAAAUUCUUAAAUCAAGCCGGAUACUGGUAGAAACAAGUGGGGAAGUAGGCACUGAUAAAAUGGUUAAUCCUGUCCAGACUUAAUCAUUGAAGCAACUCCAAACUGGACUCCAUUUUAAAUAUCUUGACAUUCUAAGACUAUUUUACAAGCAUUUAAGUCUAUUCACAUGAUCAUCUAUAUCUUUUGGGAAUCUAAAAGAACUGUUGGUUUUCCAUUGCAAGGAAUUGUAACAUCCGUCCACUACAGCAGAAAGUCUAGUGCGACUCGUAUCAAUGAAGGUAGCUGGAUGCAGGGCAAUGACAGAGGUGGUAAUAGGUGACGGAGAAGAAGACGGAGCACCAAAUUUAAAUUCAAAACAAGAGAUUGUUUUCAGCAAAUUGAAGACAUCGAGUCUGUGUGAUUUAGAUAGUCUCACAAGUUUCUGCUCUGCCAAUUACGCUUUCAGAUAAAGAUUCUUGAAAUUGUCCUAUUUACAGCUGACAUUUCCACAAGAGUUAGAGAAAUAUAAAAAAUUCAUUAAUCGUUAGUUUUUAAUUUCAUUAUUCAAUGAAAAGUCCUGUCAAAUUAAAUUGCAAAUCUCAAUGUGCAAGUACCUAAAUUUACAAAAUUUACUUUAAAUUAAUGAAUGAAAGAAUUUAUUUUCUGCUGUUGGAGGAGUCGUCAUCUCUCUCGACAUAGUAUACGAUAUGUUUUGAUCCCAUAGGCUUUUUAAUAUAUUACCUUGUGUUGUUUGAUCUCUAGGUUUAUUUGCAAUGCGUCAGUUGGUUUAUUUGUUAAUUUUGGAAUGAAGUUGAUGCAGCUGAUGGUUGCAUAGGAUGAGUAGGAUAUCACUCCUAGAUCAUAACUUGAUCUAACAAUAUUGUGUAGGUCUUUUGUGACUCCAACAAUAAAAAAACUCAAUAUUUUUUUUAUAGAGCAAUAUUUGUUAAAGCAUGAAGAAAGGCAGAAAUAUUGUAAAUCCAUCUCAACUUUUCUGUUUAUUGUGGUCGCUGCUAGCGCUGGCUGUUUUCUUAUUUAACUUUGUUCCCUUUUGCCAUCAGCUCUUUGCAUUUUCAUUGGAUCAAGCGACCCUUUUCUUGCUUCAAUUUCUGAUCUCAAAAGCACUUUGAUUCUCUUCUAUAAUUCUGUUACACUGAUUUUCUCCUUAUUUUGUACAAAUAUCAUUUCUCUUUCCCAUUUAGCCUUGAUUUGCUUCAACUUGACUAUCAAUUGCCAAGUUGACCCUGUUGUAUUUUUAUUUUGUUCACUUCAAAUAGACCCAAAAAAAAAAAGAGAUGUUGAAUAAAGCCUAAAAUCUAAUUUGAUUUUUAAUCUGAUUUAGCUAAGAUGUCCAAUUUAAUAUUAAUAGCAAUGUUAAGGAUUCUAAUAAUUGGGUCCCAACUGAUAUGAUAGUCAUUUAUUAGAUGAUCGAAAUAUUAAUUUUACUAAUUAUGAAAUUCAUUAUCUAAUAAAAAAUGACACAUAACAAUUGGGUCUCAAGUUAGAAUUCAAAUAUUGGAAUUCUUAACAUUAUUUUAAUAUUAAAAAAUUCAUCAAAAUAAUAUAUAUUAUCUAAAAAAAAUAAAAAAUCUAAAACCAUAGAUUUACCCUUCAAUCUUCGUGAUUUGGCUGAUUUCUUUUAAAGCUUUGGUUUCUUUGGAAGUGCAACGAGAAAUAGUAAUAAGAUUAAAAAAGCAAUGAAGUAAAACUUUAAAAUUUUUAUUUUUUUAUAUUUUUAUGGGUCAUUUUACCGGCACUGGCGUUUGAUUUUCUGACUAAGCUACUGUUUAGUUCUAAGUUUUCAAUUACCCGGACUGCUCUGUUUUGUGUAUCAUCGACACAAUAAGGCUUAGCAUUUAAAAGUCGGCAGCCACGCAACUUCUUGGAAUCUUUGUGCAAGUGUUGGAUAUCGACUGUUCGAUAAUGAUGGCAGCAUUUGACUGGAGUGUAAUUGACGCAGUGGAAUAAGGAUCACAUGUCUCAAACUUUUGGUGAAGAUAUUGUCAGAUAUUUUAUUGAUUAAAGGAUCACAAAUAAUGGAUAUUGGAUGAGAAUCACAUGUUUUAUGGGAUUUACUAUGUUGCAACAGUGAUACCAUACCACUGUUUUUGUCAUUAUUCAUUGCGGCCGUUGGAUGGUAACUUAUUUAAUCUAAUGGUUUAAAUUAGUUAAUGGAGAAAUGACGCGGCAACUUACAACCCUUGCAGCCGGUUCUGUAUUGAUCUAAUAGCAUGGAGUAGUAAGCGUGCGUUUCAAAGAUGCUAAGAUACACUAAAUCCCACUAUUUCCAUACUCAUAAUCACAAGCUUACCUCAAAAAAUGAAGGGAGAAUACGAUGAAGAAGAAGAUGGCCAGUGUUUUACGCCGUUCGCCGGCAACCAGUUAGGUUUACGAUGGUGGCUAGUAACACGGAGUCCAGCGAAUAGUAGCAUACCGAACGGCUCUUUACCGUCACGUGGUUAGUAACAUAUGUGACCGCAGUGUGGCCGUCACAUAAAAGGUAUUGGGGUUACAAAGUUAGUGAUAUACGUAAUGGCUGCUUUUGCAUUCACAUUAGGGGUCACAUAUACCCUAUUUUUCUUGUAGUACAUGGUAAAUUCUAUUUGAAAAUUGCUAAGUAUUUUAGAUUUGUACAAAUUCAUUUUUGUGUGCUGGUGCCUGGUUGGAUAAUAAUAUAUAAUAAAUUAAAUUUUUGGUGUAAUUUUCACAAUAUUGUAUUAUAAAUAUGUAUCGUUGAGAGGUUUUGAAAUCGUUUUGAUUGAUCAUAAUUGAUAUUUCCACAGUUGUAAAAGAUGCCAGAGAAAAUUUGAUUAUCUUAAGAAAUGAGUGCAUGAGAUAUGAAAUCAACCAUACCGUAAAAUCAAAUUUUAUCGUGUCAUCCUUCUUGGUUCAAAUUUAUGGAAACAAUAAUCAAAUGCAUCCAUGAACUAGUAUAUUCCAACAUAUGUACCAUCAAAUUUUUGCUAUGUCAUACUUAUGUAUGUGUGUGUGUGUGUGUGUUUGUGUAUAUUGAAAUUUUAAUAACAACAAUUGGGGCAAGCAUAUGUUGGUACUUGAAGAUUUAUAAGCUCCAUUCUUGAAAAAAUAAGGCUUGACUGUUCUCGAUCUAAUUCUUUUUGUUUUAAGUUCUUAAUUAAGCUUUCUUGCUUGUUUUCAAGAGCCAGUUUUGUAAUGAUCGACAAACAUGAUUUGCAUAUAUUGCACUUGGCAUUUAUGUGUCACUUAUUAACUAGAUUUAAAUUUUAUAAAUUAAUUAAGCUGAUUAAUACUUUAUAUGUGCACUAAAUGAUAAAUACUACAUAAAUUGGGACACUAGUAACUACGUAUCCCAACUAUGUAAUAUUUGUUUGUCACAAAACCAAUCAUGGCCUGAUAUUCUAAAUAUUAUUUAGGAUACCAUUUCAAGUCCCAUGAGGGCUCUUUCCGUUAAAAAAAAAAAGUAUGAAAUAGAUGUAGAUUUUUCUUUAGAUAUUAUUACCUUUGGUGGCAAUGGUACGGGAUGAUUUGGGAUUUGACAAUUCCACUCUCAUCUUAAUUAUCAAAUGGAAUGUAAGUAUGGAUAAACUCGUCCUGUUUAUAUACUUGUGAUUAAAAUUAGGACCAAUCUCAAACCGCUCACAAUCAUGUCCCAUCCUAACUAUCCUGAAUGUCUCGAAUGCCUCCCUUUAUUAUCAUUUUAAUUCUCAUUAACAUAUUAGCAAAAUUUCCAUAUAUUAAAAAUAUUAGGGUCUGACUAUCUAUACUUUAAAAAUUACUAUGAACACUCAAUUAUUUUAUACACUCAUCUAAUAAAUUUAAAAAAUUAAGUUUCAUUUUGUACAUUUUUAAAAGUAACAAAAACAUUUUUACAUGAACCUAAUAAGUUUCUUUAAAAAAAAUUAAAUCAAUUAUUUUUAUUUAUUCAAAAUACUAAUAAAACUAUUCAGCAGACCGUGAAAGAAAAUUUUUAAGAAAUUUAGCACAUAAAACGUUGAAAGUUUCAACUAAAUUCUUUAACACAAUUUUAGAAAUUACUUAUUGUUUAUUAAAGAAUGUGUUCACUAAUGUUUUUAAUUUUGUGCAAUCAAAAAAGAAGAAGAAGAAGUUUGGGGUUAAAGAUACAUUUAAUUUUUAGUGUAAAAGUUGUAUCAAUCCUAUAAAAACUAAAAGAUCCAAAAGUUACAAGUUCCAACAUCACCCAAAUAUUACGAUUGUUUUUGGGAAGGUUAAAAGUGAUUUUAAAAAUUAAAAGCUUAUUUUAGUGUUUUAUAAAUUUUUUUUUAGUAAUUACUUUUGGCAAAAUCAUCUCAUCAUACAGUAGAUUUUGAAAAUUAAGAAAGGGAAUAGUUUUUCAAAAUCUAAUUUUGAGAAUCACUUUUAUACUUAAUCCAAUUCUCUCUCUCUCUCUCUCUCUCUCUCUAUAUAUAUAUAUAUAUAUAUAUAUAUAUAUCCUCAUUAUAUAAUAAAAAUCCAAAAUUACCUUUAUUAAUUAAGAAAUAAAAUCAUUAACUUUAAAGAAAUUAUUAUUACCACCAAUUAUAUUGAGAUAACAAAAUAAAUAAUACAAUUUAAUAAUAUACAAUAUUUAUUUUAGUUAUCAAUAAUUAUAUCUACAUAACAAAAAUAUUUUAUAUACAUGUUUGUAAAUGUGUAAAUAAAUUUUAUUUAGCUUUAUAUCCAAUUUAAUCAUUUACAUUCUUGCACCAGUUUAAUAAUAAGAUUUAUGAAACACAUAUGACUGCUUUUUAAACUAAAAGUACUUUUAAAAAUAAAUUUUACUAAAGGUUCACCUAAUUCUCUUCACGAUUGAUCAAUUUCUACAGCAUAGAUAACUGUAAUUAUUUUAAAAGCCAUAGAUUACCAAUAAAAAUGUCUAAAAGUAACAAUAAUAAACCAAAGUAAACGUACAAAAAUUCAUGCAUAAAUUGAUAAUCAACAAAAACAUCCAAAAGUUUUACUCUAAGUUUUCUAUUCAAUUGACAUAACCCUUAAAUUUCAAAAGGCAUAAUCAAUUUUGUGACUAAUCCUAUAAAAUUAGAAAAUUAAAGAAUAUUAUAUACUGAUAAUUAAAUAAUAUACAAUUAAUAAUGUAAAAAAAAAAUCAUGUUAAACAUAUUGUGAACUAAAAUAAUUGGGAGAAUUGGAGUUCCAAGAUAAAUUCCAAUCUAGUCCCAAAUCAACAAUUGGGAUUAAUUUCAAUCUUAAACUCCGAUUACUUUUAAAAUUGGUCCUAAUAAUAUGGACAAAUCCCAUUCUGAUCAGUAUGGAAUCUCAAUCCCAUAACUUUGGGUUUCGAUGGUGUUUAGUUGGAGGGAGGAGAGAGGAAGGAAAUGAAUUCAAAUUCCUUUCACUUUUCUGUUGUUUGGUUUUCACAAAUAUAUGGGAAUUCAAUUUCUAUUGAAAUUUAGUUUUCAUCAAAUUGUGCAUUUUGGAUUCCUCACCGAAGGCUGUAAAAUUCAAAUUCUCCUCCUAUUAGAAAUCAAAUCUUCCAAAAUUGUUCCUCUCAAAUAUUUAUCAAUUAUUUUUAUUCUUAUCAAACAAUUCUUAUUUAUGAUUUUAUUUUUUCAAUUUAAAUCGUCACUAAGGCGUCUAACUAAGGGCCAGUUUGGGAAUACUAUAACUUUUAAAAUAAUUAUUGUUAGUUGUGCUUUAGAAAUAAUCAGCUGUGAAGAAAAUUAAUUAAGUGUUUGGUAAAUUUUGUUUUAAAAAUACUGUGAGUUUUAAAAGCAGUUAUGGACAUUUAGUAAAUUUUACUAUUAAAUUGCUGAGAGAAAACAUAUGACUAAAAUGUAUAUAAUGUAGAUAAGAUUUACUUAUACAUAUAAAAACAUGUACAUAUAAUAUUUUUAAUUGUGUAUUAUAAUAAUUUUUAUUACAAAUAAAAUUUAUAAUAUAUUGAUUUUUUUAUUUUUUUAUCUUGAAACAAUUGAUAAUUAAAUUUGUAAUAUAGUGAAACAAAUUUAAUAAUAAUUCGACCAAUAAACUGAUAUUAAUAUAUUUAUAUAACCAAAUUAACGGGUGAAUUCUAUAAUCGAUUUCUUUUAUUAACAUCUCAUAACUAUGAGAAGUUUUAUAUUUUGAUAAAUGAUCAUACUCAAUUAUGUGCCUUAUUGGAUGAAAGACGGAGAAGGAAUGCCUUACCGGAUUCAAUUCAAUAUACACUUUUUGUUCCCAGGUCUAGCCUUUCGCGGGUACCUCAACAAAAAACUGAAGAGUAAUGGCAACAAGUGAUUGAGUUAAGUAGUUCCUCAUGUAAAAUUAUUGACUCUAGAGAUAUAGUAAUAUGGAGAAGACUAAACUAUUUCGUAUUGAUGAAUUAUAGUAACAAUUUAUUAAAAUAUUGAUUUUGAUUCUAAUUUUAAUAAGGAAGAACACCAAGAACGUUAUCCCUCUAAAUAUGUACUAUAUACAAAAAAUAAUUGUAAAAAAAGGGUAGAAAAAUAAAAGACAACUCAGAAAAUACUAUUUUUUUUAAUUAUAGAAUAUGACAUUGCAACCUAUAAUUACAUGUAAUUAUAUAAAGAUUAAAAAAUCAAUUAAGAAUUUCAAAUUAAAAUAGAUCAAUACAUGUAAUUACAAUCAAUUAAAAAUUGCAAGUAAAACUUUUGAAGUGGAAUACUAAAUUACCCGACUUAAUAAAUUAAACAAUUAAAAUUUAUUCAUCCUUUCAAAUUGUAAAAGUAUUAUUAGUCAAAAGUUUCAAUAAUAAACUAAACUCAAUUCAGCAAAAAGGUAUUUGAGUGCAAUUGUUUCUUUGUUAGGCGCUUUGCCUCUCUUUAAAGAACUAGAUGUUAAUUAUUCUUCUAUCAAAAAAUCCUUAAAAUAAUUAAAUUUUAUUUUCUAACUUGUUCUCUUAGUUUUUUUGAAACUAACAAAUAAAAUCUGAAAAUUCACAUAAAAAUUUUAUGAAAAUAUUGAUAAUUAUUACUAUAUGUUGUUCUGUAAGUACUUUUAAUACUAACAACGAUGUUAUAUUAUAUUGAUAGAUUUUUUUUUCAAUUAGAAGUUUUUAAAAUAAAUUAAAGCAAUAAUAAAAUUUUAGCUCCCUAAUUUUUCAAUCUAUUCAAUAAAUACGUAAUUUAAUCAUUUUAUAAAAUAAGUCACUAAUUGCAAUUGAAAAUAAUAUAAUUGAAUUAGGGACAUAUUUGUAAAUAAAAAAAACUAUUGUUAUAUAAAAUUGAUGAAAACAUAAGGAUAAUUGAGUUAAGGACAUAUUUGAAUAUAAAAUAUUGUUGUACUAAAUCGAUGAAAAUGUAAGGGUAAUUGAGUUAGGGACACAUUUAAAUAUAAAAUAAAAAAUCUAUUGUUAUACCAAAUUGAUAAAAACAUAAAAGUUAUUGAGUUAGGGACGUAUGUGAAAAUAAAAUAUAAACUCUAUUCUUUUACUAAAUUAAUGAAAAUGAAAAAAAGAGGUAUAAACGAUUUUUUCCCACAUGUAGGUCCGCCACUCGUGUUGUAUGAGAAUUGUAAUCCAAAAAUUUUCCCUACAAAACGAUUUUUAAUCGACAGCAAAUUUUCACUACAAAACGAUUUUAAACGAUUUUUGUUUUUUUUCGAUUAAUUUUGAAAUGUUGCAUACAUAACGAGCUGCCAUUGAAAUUAAUGUUAACAACCAAAGUAGAUGCAAAAGGAGAAACAAGCAUCAUGUGCAGUACCCACUGUGAACUACUCACAUUGGAAUAAGUUGUCGGCAGCUGGUCUGUUUGGCCAUUGAUAUUUUGACUAUUCAAUGUUGAUUUUGACCCCACUAAAUUAAGCCAUCAAAAAUUGCUGGGAAGGGAGUAAUAUCUAUUCAUAACUGGAAAUUACUCGCCGUACAAUGAUGAUUGGAGCUGCAUGUAUCAUUUAUUAUUAACAACUAACUUAUGAAAUGCUUUGAAUGUACCUCCUAGGUCGUAUUUACUAUACUGGUUAGGAGAAACUACAAUAUUAAAUUAUUUGAUAAAUACUUAUUAUAAUUUAAAAAAUAUAUUAAUUUUGUCCUCCACUUUAUGAUAAAAAAAUUAUAAUAUAUAUAAAUCAUUCAUUCUAUAAUCUUGAACUUUAUUAAAGUUCCAAAAACUAUUACUCUAUAUGAUAUACUCGGGUGAUGUUAUUACACUAUUAUACAGUACAAAAUAUAUUUGUUUUCUUAAAUUUUAAUAAAGUCUAGGUCUUGGAGAGAAGCGCUUUAUAUAUAUGUAUAUAUAAUGAUUCUCUAGUGACGACAUCCUCAUUUUAACAAAGUGAUGAUAUCACUAACAAACUAAAUAACACACAUUUCAAUACACCAAUUGAUAAAAAAAUCCAGUUUUUAAUGUGUUAAAAUAUAUGUCUUUUGUAUAUUAUUGAUAUUUUCAUUUUAACAAAGUGAAGGUCUCCUCACUAUAGAAGUGCUUUAUAAAUAUUUUCUGUAUUUUUGUAAAAAUUAUUAUUUAAAAGUCAUAUCUUACCAAAGACUAAUAGUUUUUAUUUUAUCACUAUACUGUACUUUUCAAGAUAGAACACCUCAAUACCAUGACCUUAAUUUUGAACUCUCUUGUACAAAGUUGUUGGCGGGUCUAUUUAGUUUAGUCUUUCAACUAUUUGUCGUUUGAACUAAGAUGAUCCGAAUAAAGAUAUAUAUCAAUAAUUUCCUAGUGAAACUUCGGAAAAAUAUAAAAAUCCUCUCAUAUAGUAGCAUUAUUUUAAUUCUCAGCUUGAUUAUGUUUUGAGUUAACUUAUAAAUUAUUUGAAAUAAAAAGAAUAUAAUUUAUUUUUUCCAACGGAAUUUUUUAAAUAAUUUUAUUAGUUUAAUGAGUAAUUAUACACUUACAAAGUUAUGAUAUAAAAUUAUAUCCCUAAAUCCCAAUAAUAUGACACCAAUGAACUACUGCUAUGUGUUUCUUAGUAAUUAACUUUUUAUACUAUUAUUAAUGAGAUAAUUAACUUCAACACCAAUAUAAAAAUUUUAUAUUAAUACAUCCUCUAGCUUUAGACGUUACAGACUCUGUAUGUAACGCAGCAAAUGAGGAGCAUCCACGCGUUGCAGGAGAGAGGAAAAGUUGUUGGAAUUUAGCUGAUACAAGACUAAUUUCCAUUGAGCUGUUACAUACAGAGUCUGUAAGGUAGUUUUAUUAUCAAAUAAUCAUAUGUCAUAAUCGAACCAAGCUACCAGAGCCUACCACUAAAAGAGUGAUUGAAGGGUUUUCCAAGUUUGAAAAUGUUAGUAGCAUUGGCAAAUGGCAACUUCCAGGAAUCUUCCUGCUACAAUCAAGUUGAAUCAACUAUUCAGUGAAAUACGCAAACGGCACAUAGGACCCCGCCACCCGUAAAGUCACAAUCAUUUGUUUAUUUGUCAAUCAAGUUGAAUCAACUUGAAUAAAGCCUAAAAUCUAAUUUUUUAUUUCGUUCACUUCAAAUAGACCCCCCCCCCCCAAAAAAAGAGAUGUUGAAUAAAGCAUAAAAUCUAAUUUGAUUUUUAAUCUGAUUUAGCUAAGAUGUCGAAUUUAAGACUAAGAGCAAUGUUAAGGAUCCCAAUAAUUGAGUCCCAAGUGAUAUGGUAGUCAUUUAUUCUAUGAUCGAAAUAUUAAUUUUACUAAUUAUGAAAUUUAUUAUCUAAUGAAAAAAUCACACAUAUCAAUUGGGUCUCAAGUUAGAUUUCUACUAUUGAAAUUCCUAACAUUUUUCCAAUAUUUAAAAAUUCAUCAAAAUAAUAUCUAUUAUCUAAAAAAAUAAAAUAAAAAUCUAAAACCAUAUAUUUACUUUUCAAUCUUUGGCUGAUUUUUUUUUAAAGUUUUGGUUUCUUUAGAAGUGCAAAGAGAAAUAGUAAUAAGAUUAAAAAAGCAAUGAAGUAAAACUUUAAAAUUUUUAUUUCUUUAUAUUUUCAUCGGUCAUUUUACCGGUACUGGUUUGAUUUUCUGACUAAGCUACUGUUUAGUUCUAAGUCUUGGCAAUUACCCGGACUGCUCUGUUUUGUGUAUCUUCGACACAAUAAGGCUUAGCAUUUAAAAGUCGGCAGCCACGCAACUUCUUGGAAUCUUCGCGCAAGUGUUGGAUAUCGACUGUUCGAUAAUGAUGGCAGCAUUGGACUGGAGUGUAAUUGACGCAGUGGAAUAAGGAUCACAUGUCUCAAACUUCUGGCGAAGAUACUGUCAGAUAUUUUAUUGAUCAAGUAAGGAUCACAAAUAAUUGACGCAGUGUAAUUUGCUUUUUUUGCUACUGAUGUAAGUCUUGCAAUUAUUUUUAAAUAAUGAUAUUAUAAUUAAAAAUCAAGAAAUAUUUAUAAUACUUAAAGACUGAUUCAGAUUAUUAAUUCUUUUAUAUGACUUAAUUAUUAGCUGACAAAUAAUUAAAAAGUCAUGGAACAAUACUUUUAUUCUAAUAUGACACAACUUGUACUUUCAUUCCUAUGCUAAAAUAUAUCUAACUUAUUAAUAGUCAAGAAAUAUAUCUAUUCAACAUAUAUUUGUUAGAAAGAUUAUCUACUAAUUAAUCAUUCAGACAAGAUUACGAGUCUCAACAUAAAGAGUAAUGAUAUAAUCAUAAAUUUUUGUAUAAAUUUAUUUUGUAUAAAUUAAUAUGUCAUAAUAAGAUUGGUUAAAUUAAAUAUCACUUGACUCAUAUAAUUUAUUUUUAUUAUUUUAUAUUUUCAUUCAACUAAUGAAUUAAUGUCAUGUUAAUUUAUACAAAAAUAUUUAUACAAAAAUUUAUAGUUAAUUUAUACUCCAAAUUAAGAUAAAAAUUAAUACAUUGAAAUUCAGAACCCUUUUUUAUUUUUUUUUUCCUUCUGCAGUUUAAAAAGGAGUCGCCCACGAUUAUUGAAAUAAUUUUAUCAGAUUCGCUUGAAAGUAGUUUUACGAGCAAGCGGUUUUUCCCUCUUGAUCCCCGUAUUCGUCAGCUCCUACUCUUUGCCUUCAAUUCUCAGUCAAGAAAACCUCUCCUGAUUUUCGUCUUUUGAUCUCAUACACACUUUGCUUCUGUUCAUCGUGGUCGCUGCUCGUGCUAGCCGUUUUCUUAUUUAGCUUUGUUCCCUUUUGCCAUCAGCUCUUUGCUUUUUCAUUGGAUCAAGCAACCCUUUUCUUGAUUCAAUUUUCUGAUCUCAAAAACACUUUGAUUCUCUUCUGUUACACUGAUUUCCCCCUUGUUUUGUACAAAUAUAAUUUCUUUUUCCAAUUUUGCCUUGUUUUGCUUCUACUUGAUUAUCAAUUGCGCGGUCGUUGACCCUGUUCUAUUUCUAGUUCGUUCCCUUCCCCCCCCCCCCAACCCAAAAAAAAUGGACAUUUUGAAAAGCAUUGUAAACUGCUUGUCUCCUCACGCACAACGCGAAUUUAGUUAUUGGCAUAACUCCGCUGCCAACUUUGAGAAUCUCAAGGCAGAACUCGAUGGGCUCAAGGAUGAAAGAGAAAGCAUUCAGCGCAGAGUUUCUGAGGCUGAAAGAAAAAGUGAAAAGAUUGAAGAGAAGGUUGAGAAAUGGCUGGUUAAUGCGAACAAGAGCAUUGAGCAGGCAGCCAAAUUCAUUCAAGACGAAGAGAAAGCAAAUGAACGAUGUCUCAUGGGGCUGUUUCCUAAUUGGAUUACUCGCUAUCAGCAUGGAAAGAAAGCAGAAACAGAGAAGGAGGCCCUUUUUAAACUCCGAGAAGAAGCUGGGAGAUUUGAUAGAAUUUCCUACCCUACCAUUCCGGAGGAGAUUUGGCUCAAGUCUCACAAAGGCUACGAGGCCUUCGAAUCAAGACUUCCUACUUUGGAGGAUAUAAAAAACGCAUUAAUCAAUGUUAAUGUCAGCAUCAUUGGGGUGUACGGCAUGGGCGGCAUUGGAAAGACGACACUGGUGAAGGAGUUUGCAAGGCGAGCCAUUGAAGACAAGCUUUACGAUAUGGUGGCUUUUUCGGAGGUUACCCAAAGUCCAGACAUAAAAAAGAUCCAAGAGGAAAUUGCGGAAACGUUAGGCCUACAGUUGUCCGAGGAAGCUGAGUCUAGAAGAGCUGGUAGACUAUAUGAAAGAUUGAAGAAUGAGAAGAAGAUCCUUGUGAUUCUGGAUAACAUCUGGAAACCUCUUGAUUUGGGGACUAUUGGAAUUCCUUUUGGAGUUGAGCACAGAGGAUGCAAAUUAUUAUUCACAACAAGAGAUCUUGAUGUGCUGUUAAGGAUGGGAUCUGAAAAAAACUUGUCGAUUGGCAUUUUAAAUGAACAAGAAGCCUGGAGAUUGUUCAAGAUAAUGGCUGGUGAUUAUGUUGAAAAUCGUGAGUUAAAAUCUGCAGCAACAAGUGUAGCCAAGGCAUGCGGAGGUUUGCCUAUUGCCCUAACCACAGUAGCAAAGGCACUGAGAAAAAAAGAGCUGCCUGUGUGGAAGAAUGCCUUGCAAGAGCUCCAAACGCCUUCAGAGGCGAGCGUCGACGAAGGAGUACCAGCAGAGGCAUACUCAACAAUUGAGCUGAGUUACAAGUACUUAAGAGGUGAGCAACUCAAGAAAACUUUUUUACUGUGUAGUCUUAUUACGCCAGCACCAAUUAUGGACUUGUUCAAAUAUAGCAUGGGCUGGGGUGUAUUUAAAAGUGUCCACAAGCUAGAAGAUGCACAUAACAAAUUAGAUGCAUGGGUCCAUCAACUAAGAGACUCUUGUUUGCUGCUUGAGGAUGGUGGCAGUAAAUACUUUUCUAUGCACGACGUUGUUCGCGAUGUUGCCAUUUCAAUUGCAUGUCGUGACAAAAUUGGAUUUGUGGUGAGAAAUGGCCAAAUGCAGAUGAAUUAAAAAAAUAUCUUGCAAUUUCUUUAAAAGAUAGUAUUAUUAAUGACAUUCCUGAAGGGUCCGAAUCUCUACAACUUGAACUUCUACUCAUGUCUCCCAAGAACUCUUUUGCUGUGCCUAAUAUUCCUGAGAACUUCUUCAAAAGGACGAAAAAGCUUCGGGUUUUGGAUUUGACUAGAAUGCGGUUAUUGUCAUUGCCAUCUUCAAUUGGUCUUCUAGUAAAUCUUCAGACACUUUGUCUUAAUCAAACCAUUUUGGGAGGCAUAGACAUAGCCAUUAUUGGAAAGUUGGAAAAUCUAGAAAUCCUCAGCUUCGUGCGGUCUGAUAUGGUGCAAUUGCCCAAAGCACUUGGUCAACUGACUAAGCUAAGGCAGUUAGAUUUAACUGACUGUUUCCGUCUAAAAGUUAUUGCUCCAAAUGUCAUAUCAAGCUUAAUCCGAUUAGAAGAAUUGUAUAUGGGUAAUUGCUCCAUUGAAUGGGAGGUUGAAAGAGCGAACAGCAAAAGAAGUAAUGCUAGCCUUGAUGAAUUGAUGCAUUUACCUCGGCUAACCACUCUAGAAAUUGAUGUUAAAAAUGAGAGUAUGUUACCAGAAGGCUUUUUGGCCAGAAAGCUCGAAAGGUUCAAAAUACAUAUUGGAAAUGGGUUAUUCACACAUCCCAUGCUUUUUAGACAACAGUGGUUUAAAAGUCGGCAGCACUUUUGGAUCAACAGUAAACGCAAGAGUUUAAGAGCAUUGAAGCUCAAGCUUGAUUUUAUGGACAUUUGCUCCAUGAAAUUGCAGGGCAUCAAUAACGUUGAAUACUUAUGGUUGGACAAGCUGCAAGGCAUCGAGAAUGUUCUUUUCAAUUUGGACACGGAGGGCUUUUCACAAUUGAAGCUUCUCUGGGUUCAAAAUAAUCCUGACUUCUUUUGUAUCGUCGAUUCAAGGGAGAUGGUCGCUUGUGAUGCCUUUCCUCUUUUGGAGUCACUUAUCCUUCACAACUUGAUCAACAUGGAGAGGAUAUGUAUUGAUCGGCUCAAAGUAGAGUCUUUCAACGAACUCAAAAACAUAGAAGCAUAUAAUUGUGAUAAAUUGAGUAAUAUCUUUUGGCUCUCUACUACAAAAUGCCUUCCAAGACUUGAGAGAAUUGCAGUUAUUAAUUGCAGCAAGAUGAAAGAGAUUUUUGCAAUUGGGGAAGAAGUUGAUAAUGCAAUUGAGAAGAUAGAGUUUGCUCAAUUAAGAUCUUUGAGUCUGGGGAAUCUUCCAGAGGUUACAAGUUUUUGCCGCGAGGUGGAGACUCCUUCAGCAUCACCAAACAGACAAGUGUCGCAAGAGGAAUCGACGACUAUGUAUAGCUCCAGCGAAAUCACUUUGGAUAUUUCAACUCUGCUUUUCAACGAGAAGGUGCGUAGGCUAACAGAUUUUAUUCUAUCAUGCGUUCUGUUUUGAUGUCAUACGUGGAAAAUAAUUAAAUCAUUUAAAGAAUUGAAAGAAAAUGGAAAAAAGGAUAAAAAGAAUCUCACGCGCUCACUAAUUGAGCUCUUAACAAGUAGUAUGAAUUAGAAUGCAUACUCAGCUGUCAGUUGGAAAUUGAUUCUGACUUGCAUUAAUUUGUAAUCAAAGAAGAAAAUUUCAACAAGUGCUUCCCAUAUGGAUAUUGGAUCUAACGAGAAAUUCUUAUUUUUUUAGGUAGUGUUGCCUAACUUGGAGGCUUUGGAGAUAUCUACAAUUAAUGUCGACAAGAUUUGGCACUACAAUCAUCUUCCGGUCAUGUUUCCUCGCUUUCAAAAUUUAACACGAUUGAUUGUAUACUGCUGUAUCAAAUUAAAAUACAUAUUUUCAGCGUCUAUGAUCGGAAGCCUGAAGCAGCUCCAACACCUAGAAGUAUGCUUAUGUGAGGAUUUACAGGAGAUCAUUUCUGAAAACAGAGCAGAUCAAGUGAUCCCUUAUUUUGUCUUUCCACAGCUCACCACUCUGAGACUCCAAGAUCUACCAAAACUUAGAUGUUUGUACCCUGGAAUGAAUACUUUGGAAUGGCCCGUGCUAGAAAUUCUUUUUGUGUAUGGUUGUGACAAAUUAAAGAUAUUCGCUGCAGAUUUAUCGCAGAAUAAUGAGAAUGAUCAACUUGGUAUUCCUGCACAACAGCCCCUAUUGCCGUUGGAAAAGGUAUGAAGUCAUUUUCUAGAUUUUUUAUCAAUAGCUUAUUUUUAACUUUGAAAAAUAUGACAAAGUAUCGAUAAAUUAAUACUCAAUAAAUUAAAAACUUUUAUUAUACAAUAAUCUUUGCUAGUCUAGACUAAGGGAUCAAUGUCGUAGAUUAAUAAUUAUAUGAACUGUUUUAGGUAUAGCAUUUAUAAAAGAAUCCUUAGUCUUUCCAUAUAGAAGAACUUACAAAAUAAAUUAGUAAUUUAUUAUUGUGCAAUAAAAUAAUUUCGAGCCAGUAUAAAUCAACCUUUUUUCCCUAAUUUCUUUUUUACCUCUAAAAUUAACAUAUAAAAUAAAUUUUAUCAAUAAUUCAAUUUUUUUUAAAAAUAUAAUAUAAAACAAAUACUAUAAAGUCACUGCAUGUGACCGUAGAUCAUCAAUUGACCUCAUUAGUUAUUAUGAUUGAUGAUGAUCAGAUCGUACCCAACUUGAAGAAACUAUCACUAAGUGGAAAAGAUGUGAAGAUGAUUUUGCAGGCCGAUUUUCCACAACACCUUUUUGGCAGUCUUAAACAACUAGAGAUUGUUGGAGAUGACUCAGCUUGUUUUCCAAUCUGGAACGUACUGGAGAGAUUUCACAAUCUUGAAAUGCUCAUACUGCGUUAUUUUUCAUUCAACGAAGAGGAAUUUUCGAAGGAAGGAUGCUUAGAGAAACAUGUGGGGAAGUUGGCAAUGAUAAAAGAAUUACAGCUGCACGGGCACGAUCAUCUUGAGCAGCUGUGCAAACAAGACUCCAAACUUGGCCCCAUUUUUCAGUAUCUUGAAAUUCUAGGAGUAUAUUAUUGUCAAAGUGUGUUAAUUCUAUUGCCAUCAUCAUCGGUAUCUUUUCGGAACCUAACAGAACUUGUAGCUUUCGGUUGCAAGGAAUUGAUACACUUGGUAACAUCCUCCACAGCAAAAACUCUAGUGCAACUCGUCACAGUGAGUAUACAUGGAUGCAGAGCAAUGACAGAGGUGGUAAUAAAUGACAAAGAUGGAGUUGAAAAAGAAGAGAUUGUUUGCUGCAAAUUGAAGAUGUUGGGACUGUUUGAUUUAGAUAGCCUCACAAGUUUCUGCUCUGCCAAUUACACCUUCAAAUUCCCAUCUUUACAAGAUUUGAAUGUGAUUGGUUGUCCCAAGAUGAAGAUUUUCACUACAGGAGAAUCAAUCACGCCUCCAAGAGUAAAUGUCUGGUAUGGAGAGACAGGGGAUCGAUUGCUUUGGACCAAUAAUGAUCUCAACACAACCAUACAACAAUUACAUGCUGAAAAGGUACGGAUAUACAUAGUACUCUCUAUCUCCCAUGGAAACAUUUUACAAAAUUUUUAUUUUAAUAAAAUAUAGAUAAGAUAUUUGUUAUAAAGUAAAAGUUUAAAUUGAUGAAUAAGAAUUUUAUUUUCAGCUGUUGGCGGUGCAGUCGGCGAUCUCUACCCAUUACUAAUUUCAUAGGCUUCUUAUGACUUGGGAGUUGUGAAUUUUUAGAAGAAAGCCUCAGCUGGUAAUUAAUUUUUAUUUCAUUUAUUUGAUCUCAUGGCUUGUUUCGCAAUUUCAUCUGAAUUAUUUAGAAUGGGUCAAUCGGCUUACUGUUAAAUUUGGAAUGCAAUUUUAAUGAUUCGUUCAGACUUUUGUGGACAGAUUUUGCAUCAUUGAAUGUCUUCUAGUCUAGUUUAAUUUGAGUAUUUUUUUCUUUUUUUCUAAAAUUUUAUAAUUCCUUGCAUACUUUGUAUGAUAAAAUUUCAUAAAAAGCCUUCAUAUUUUAUAAUUCCUUGAAAACAUCAUUGUUGUUCUGUUAUUUUAGUUUGUUCAUUUGGUUUGGUUUGCUUCACCCCUAUCUUUCUUUGGAAACUUUUUGUUUUUUUUUUUAUGAUCUUUCCAAAUGCUCUUUCCUAUGAACACAUAAUUAAGAACAGCUGAAAAUCAUUCAUCGGAUAAAAAAUUAAAAAUAAACAAAAUCUAAUCAGAGCAUUAUGCCUAGAACAAAUCCUUAGACCAUCAAAGCCAAACUCUUCGCUAUGAAAAACUAUAUUGUGGAAAUAUUGUUUGAAAACGUUGGACACCAAGAAAGGGACUAAUUUGGUCUAGUUUUAUGAGAAGUAUAGAAGAACGUUGUUUUCUCUGUUUUUCCUGUUAGAACUCUUUACUCUAUGAUUGUAGAAUGUCUGGAUACUGAUGAAGAUUCAGGUAACUCUUCUCCUGUGCAUCAUUUGAAAUAAGUUUUUUUUUUUUUUUUUGGUAAUAUCUCCUACUGGGUUAUAGUUCAUACAAAGAGAAAUUCUUAAAUCAAGCCGGAUACUGGUAGAAACAAGUGGGGAAGUAGGCACUGAUAAAAUGGUUAAUCCUGUCCAGACUUAAUCAUUGAAGCAACUCCAAAUUGGACUCCAUUUUAAAUAUUUUGACAUUCUAAGACUAUUUUACAAGCAUUUAAUGAAUGAAAGUCUAGUGCAGCUCGUAACAAUGAAGGUAGCUGGAUGCAGGGCAAUGACAGAGGUGGUAAUAGGUGACGGAGAAGAAGAUGGAGCACCAAAUUUACUUUAAAUUAAUGAAUGAAAGAAUUUAUUUUCUGCUGUUGGAGGAGUCGUCAUCUCUCUCGACAUAGUAUACGAUAUGUUUUGAUCCCAUAGGCUUUUUAAUAUAUUACCUUGUGUUGUUUGAUCUCUAGGUUUAUUUUAUCGUUUCAUCUUAUUAUUUGCAAUGCGUCAGUUGGUUUAUUUGUUAAUUUUGGAAUGAAGUUGAGCGGGUAUCUAUUCGGCAAGAAAUUCUGUUUAUUUCCUAGUUAUUUUACAAAGUUUAAGAGAUUUUCUUAUUUUUCUUAUUAUUUUCAAUAUUUUUAUAUUUUUUCUCUAAAUAUAAGAUUUUAAGUAUGAUUUAUUUUAUUUUUCUUAUUUCAGUUAGGAGAACGUUAUUAUGUAAUAAUAUUUUAAGUUUGCCUAUUUUGAUAAAUACAUAAUACUUAGAAUUUGUGUAAAAAGGGUCCAAUACCCUAAUUUUGUUAUUCAAACUUCUAUUAAUAAAAUUUCAGACUUUUUAAAAAAAAUUCUCUAUAUUUUCAAUCUCAACAUCUAUGUUUCCCUUUCAUCAUAAGUUUUAAUGUCUGGUUCUGAGCUAGCUUUAUGUGCAUAUUAAACAUCAUUGAAGGUCUUUUGAUCUAAGUUGUGAUCAAAAAAUUAUGCUCGCUUCUGUCUGGUCGUAUGAAAAUUGUGCAAAAUAAUAUUCUUAUAUAAUUUUUAUCCUCCAUUGUUACAAAAUCCCAAGCUUCGAAUUUGUAAACUUUGAAAGCAUGGCAGAAAACUUAGUACUUAAUAAGGCUCUGGAAUAAGACUCUUUAUGGCUUCAAUAUUUUAUUUAACAUGAAAAUUUCUUUCUAACUAGCAUCAUUGCGAAGAUAAAUUGUGGUAGUUCUGACAAGUACUGCACAAUUAAUGUUACCAGCAAUCAAUUGUUGUGAGCACCGACAACCAUUUUCAUAUUUAAGCCUUAAGAACAGUAACUCAAAAUAUGGCAAGUGGCAACCACAUCAAAUAAUCAAAUUGUUGAUAGAUUUAGAGAGCUUUAAUUUGCUUGAUAUAUAUUUGAAUAUUUCAACAGAUGCAUCUUUUCUCUACUCACGGGGCACGUUGAGUUAGAAACGGUUUGAAUGUCAAUAUUACUCCAAGUGCCUCAACCAAAUUCAGAAUGAAAAAAACCAUCUGGUUACCUGCACUUUAGUUUAAGCAGCUGAUUAAGUUAGUUAGCACCAAGUAAUUCACAUACUGGUGAGAAAUUUCAUUAGUAAAUCAUCAUACCGGGGAGGAAACCAGCAUCUUGACGCUUUUGUGACCAAGAAAAUCUGCACAACCCGAUUAAUCAAGUUGUUACCAAACAAAUGAUCAAUUUAAUCAUGCCUUAAUUUUUUCUUUUUUUUUUUUUGUGCCGGGGGGGGGGGGGGGGGGGGGGGGGGGAAUAAAAAUCGUAACUUCAUUUACAUAUAAUUUUACAAAAUCAAUAGGACACUUACGGAGCACCUCCUACAGUCAUAGCAAGUCCAUUGGCAGCUCCUCUUUGAUGCUGUUCCCGUUAUUGUGGCAUAAACCAACAAAUUAAAUUUAAACUUUGACACAUACAAAAUUUGAUAAGGCUGAAAUCAUGGAAAUGUACUAAACAAAUAAAAGAAAAAAAUAUUUACCACUGCUCUGUUUUGAAGAAGGAAUAAUCCAGUUAUUAUAGCCACCUGAUGUUACAAUUCAGGAAAAGUAAAAAAGAAUUACAAGAAUUCUAAUAAAAAAGACAUAAAAUAAUUUUAUACAUACUUGCUGAUGGAUAAUAUAACCUACGUAUAUGGAUCAAUGAUUAGGAUAUCCACUUACAGAUAAAACAUUCUUCAUCACAGAAGCACAGUUUAUCAAUAAGGCAAGGCUGAACCCAGAUAACAUUGCUAUAAAAGUGUAACUUGUCAAAAGCGCCAUCGAUAAAACCUGUACACACAUAGAAAAUUAUGGGACCAAAACCAUGAAGAAAAGUGUUUUAUAAACAAAUAUGUUUGAAACAAACUAUCAAAUGGUCUAAAUGCCACAUGGUGUGUUCAAAAUUUUACCCCUGCAAUGCGUGUUAUGAUUAUUGGCCCAAUGAUCCUCUCGACGUAAGGGUAUAGAGUGAGUUGAAAAAUAAGGAGGCUGAAUCUUGUAGUAAGUUCAAAAUGAGGACAAUCAUCAAGCAUGUGAUGGUGUCAAUGUAGUCAUUAUAAGAGAAGCGAAAGUUAUAUUUUAUAGUCUCACCAAUAAGAAAAUUUGAAGUUAUGGGAGAGUUGCUAUUACAUGUACAAUUCAGCCUGAAAAGAGAGCUAAAGGCUACGUACCGGAAUCCAGCAAGAAGCAAUAGUUACCGCAAAAGCAAAGAGUGACAUACAGAGACAGGGCAGAGAUGAAUUCAGUCAGCUGAAUCAAUUGAAGAGUGAAGUGCCAGCUCAGCUGAAGUUAGUUAGACACGUUUAGAUCAUAUUCAGUUAGUUUCUUCAUUUUCUGUUAAGCUGUAAACAGCUGAGUAUAAAUACAAGCAUCUUGUAAUCAUUGAAGUUUUAAGCAAAAUAAAAUAAAGCAUUUGAUUUCAUAAGUCUUUUACAAUUUUCUCAGCACUUGAAAAUACAUUUUCUCAGUAACCAAACAGUCUAUUCAUUCAAGCUUUUAAGCUUUCAAACAUGGUAUCAGAGCCAUACAGAGCUAGUUCCAGUAAUCAACAGUCAAGCUUUCGUAAUCAAACAACAAACAACACAAAUCAACCUACUCAAAUCAACUUCUCUUUUACUAAUCCUAUCAAGCUAGAUCGAUCAAAUUACUUACUCUGGCGUUCUCAAGUUCUAGCUUCAAUAAGAGGCAAUCGUUUGGAAGAUUUCGUCAUAGGAGACAGAUCAGUACCUGAUAAGUGUCUUCUGUUAACUGAAGCAGAUGGAUCUAUACAACAAAUUGAAAAUCUAGAAUAUCAGAUCUGGAGAUCACAGGAUUAGACACUUCUUGAUUGGCUACUGUCGUCAUUAAGUGAAGGUAUCUUAAGUCUUGUUAUCAAUUCUGAGAGUUCUUUUGAUAUAUGGAAAACUUUGGAAAAGAAAUUUGGAGUUCAAUCUAAAGCUCGACUGCUUCAGCUCAUAUAUGAACUAAACACUAUUAAAAAGGAAGCUCUUAGUGUUGAAGAUUAUUGUAUUAAAAUGAAAGCAAUAGCUGAUAAGCUGGCCAGUGCUGGUAGUUCCAUUACAGAGAAGGAUCUUAUGUUAACUAUUCUUAAUGGAUUAGGACCAGGAUAUCGUGAUAUUGCUACAUUUAUAACUGGUUCACAAAUGGAAUUUGAUGAUGUUUAUGCACUGUUACUCACUCAUGAGACUAGAUUAGAGCAGGAGCAAGGUGACAAAAGUAUGUUUAAUGCAAACUAUGCAUAUACGAAUGCAUAUUAUCCUAGAGCUUAUUUUGCACAGCCUAGAGGAAGUUUUAAACGAGGAGGUUAUUCUGGUGGUAGAACUCCUUUCUUUGGCAGAGGAAAUAUGAAUUACUCUCCAAGAAUGUUUAAUGGAGGUUUUAAAAAUGGAUAUGGCAGAGGAUUUUUUUCCUGGAAACAACUGAUUUCAAUCAUUUUCCAGCUCCUAGGAAUCCAGUACCUAGGAACUCAUCUUUUCUAACUAGAAAUGGAUCUGCUAACAUGAGUGGAUCACAAGGAAGUUUUAAUAAUGCUGGGGAGCUGGUAUGUCAGAUUUGCUUUAAGAGUGGUCAUACUGCUGAUGUCUGUUGGCAUAGAUUUGUUGAAGACUUUGUACCUGUUCCAAGAGGUUUUGGCAGGGGAAAAACACCAAGAGCAGCAUAUUUCUCAAACUUUGAUGGCUCUACUUCUAAUCCAGAUUUUGGCUAUGAAAAUCUUAAUAAUAUGUUUCCAGGUUAUGAUUCUAUGUCUGGCAAUAGUUAUUAUUAUGGAAUGGAUAGAUACACUUCUGGAGCAGCUGGAACAGCCUUUAUGGCUAAUUUUGAAGGAACUGCUGAUGAUGGAUGGUAUCUGGAUAGUGGGGCAACUCACCAUUUAACCAACAACAUGGAGAAUUUGCAGAUCAAUGAAGAGUUUAAAGGUACUGAUCAGCUUAUCAUUGGAAAUGAUCAAGGUUUGUCUAUUACUCAUGUUGGACAUGCAUUUCUGGUGUUAAGAGCUUCUAAAUCCUUAUCUACACAUGCUAGAAUAACACUUAAAGAUAUGUUACUUGUUCCUUCAAUUACCAAAAAUCUAUUAAGUAUUUCCAAACUCACAUCUGAUAAUCCUGUAUAUGUUGAAUUCUGUGGAAAUGUUUGUUUUGUGAAGGACAUGAAAGGUCAAGUUCUUCUGCAGGGUAUUGCUGAAAAAGGCCUUUACAAGCUGCUGCUGAACUCCAAUUCUCUUUCUUCAUCACCUACAUCCUAUCUUUGUAAAUCCCAGCCAAAUAAACCAGUUUCUAUGUUAUCUGCUUUCAAACACUGUGAUAAUGGUACUCGAGCUUGCUAUCAGUCUGUUUUAAAUAAGUGUAAUGCCAAACCUGAUAUAAUAACUUUGUUACAUAGAAAGUUUGGUCAUCCAAGCUCAAUGACAUUGGUGCAUUUGCUUAAAUCAUGUAAACAAUUUAAAGUCUCUUCAAAAGACAUGUUAUCUUCUGCAAAUACUUUAUGUGAAGCAUGUCAGCUAGGCAAAGUCCAUAAGCAACAUUUCUCAAUAACCGAAACAAAAACAAAAGGGGUAUUAGAAUUGAUCCAUACUGAUCUUUGGGGGCCUUCACCCACUAUGUCUAGAGAUGGAUACCAAUACUACAUUAGUUUUGUGGAUGAUUAUACUAGGUACUCUUGGAUCUAUCCUCUUAAGCUCAAAUCACAAGCAUUUGAAGUUUUUAAAUUGUUCAAAACUCAAGUUGAGAAUCAAUUUGAUACCAAAAUUAAGAUGCUACAAUCUGAUCUUGGGGGAGAGUUUAGAGUGUUUACUGAUUUUCUUAAUCAAAAUCGAAUAAUUUUUAGACACUCAUGUCCUUACACCCAUCACCAGAAUGGUCUUGUUGAGAGGAAACACAGGCAUAUAGUUGAGCUAGGCUUAACUCUCAUGGCUCAAGCAAACCUUCCUCUUCAAUUCUGGUGGGAAGCUGUUCAUACAGCAGUGUAUCAUAUUAACAGAUUGCCUACCCCUGUUAUGAAAUUCUUAUCUCCUUAUGAGAAACUUUUCAAACACAAACCAGAUUACACAUUCCUGAAGUGUUUUGGUUGUCUUUGCUAUCCAUACUUGGGAGAUUUUAACAAACAUAAGUUUGAUUUUCACACUUCUAAAUGCAUCUUUAUUGGAUACAAUCCCUCUUACAAAGGAUACAAGUGCUUAGCAAGUUCUGGUAAAGUCUAUGUUCUUAGACAUGUUAUUUUUUAUGAAAACACAUUCCCUUAUCCAAUAAACACUACAUCUCACUCAUCAGAAAACCCCAUAUCUUCUUAAACCUCAGUGUCUAAUUUCUCUCAACAACAUAUCUAUCAUCUUUCUACAAUGGCCUUACCCAACAGCAGCUUUGAAGGUCUUCAGUCAGCAGGCUCAGCAAGAAAUGAACAAAUUCCCUUUGUUCCCACACAUACAAAUAUUCUGAAUCAACAAGAACAUCCAUCACACACAUCUUUAGAGUUAUCAUCCUCAACCUCACCAUCACCAAACACAUUACCACUACAAUCAUCCAUUCUACAACCAGAGGAAAUUUCUAUUCCACAGAACACAGACCAAAUUCAAACCAGAAGUCAUUCUCAACCAUCUUCUCAUCCAAUGAUUACAAGAUCAAAAUCUGGAAUCUUCAAACCAAAGGUUUAUACAGUCACCUUAGCCAACAAAGAACUAAUACAGUUCAAGAAGCUCUUAGCAGUCAGAAUUGGCAUCAGGCCAUGGUAGAUGAGUAUGAAGCUUUGAUAAAGAAUGAGACUUGGUCACUAGUACCAUUUUCAAAUGCAUACAAAGUAGUUGACAACAAAUGGGUGUUUAGACUCAAGCAAAAUACUGAUGGAAGCAUAGCCAAACACAAGGCCAGGUUGGUUGCCAAAGGUUUUCAGCAAAUUGAAGGUGUAGAUUACUUUGAGACUUUUAGCCCAGUUGUAAAAGCUUCAACAGUAAGGAUUGUUUUGAGUUUAGCUGUGAUGCAUAAAUGGAAAAUAAGGCAAGUGGAUGUGAAUAAUGCCUUUUUGAAUGGAGAAUUGACAGAAGAUUUCUAUAUGGAUCAGCUUGAAGGUUUUAUUGAUCAACAAAAACCCAAUCAUAUAUGUAAGCUGAAGAAGGCCUUGUAUGGCUUGAAGCAAGCUCCUAGAGCUUGGUAUGACAAGCUUAAGAAUUGUCUGAUUGCUACUUGGAAAUUUCAGAAUUCAAAGGCUGAUACCUCUCUCUUUUUCAAAGAAGUGCAAGGCUCAAUGACACUUAUCGUAAUCUAUGUUGAUGACAUUCUAAUAACAGGACAUGUUAAUGAUGAGCUGGAAAAAUUCAUCUCAGAAUUCAGUAAGACUUUUGCCUUAAAAGACUUGGGAAUUCUAUCAUAUUUUCUGGGGAUAGAAGUUUCCUAUGUUGAAGACUGCAUCUAUCUAUCUCAGAAGAAAUAUAUCUUGGAUUUGUUAUCCAAAGCUGAUAUGCAGAAUUGUAAAGGCUGUGACACUCCCAUAGUUACUGGAUCAAAGCUUCAGAAAGAGGUCAAAGGCUGUUUGGCUCAAUAUAUUGAGGAUGCAACAAGCUAUAGAAGCUUAGUUGGAGGUUUACAAUAUCUGGUAUUAACCAGACCAGAGAUAACAUUUGUUGUGCAUAAGUUGAGCCAAUAUGUGACAGCUCCAACACUCCAGCAUGUUAUGGCUUGUAAAAGAGUUCUCAGAUACCUUAAGGAAACUAUAGAUUAUGGUUUGAAGUUUUCAGCAGGUGGGGAAAUGAAGAUCACAGGAUUUACAGAUGCAGAUUGGGCAUGUGAUGUUGAUGACAGAAAAUCAAUAGGAGCAUAUUGCAUCUAUUUUGGAAACAAUCUAAUUUUAUGGUCAUCCAAGAAGCAGGCUGUGGUUACACGAUCCAGUGCAAAGAGUGAAUAUCGUGCUCUGGCUUCUGCAAGUGCAGAGAUAACAUGGAUCCAGUCAUUAUUCAGUGAACUUAGCAUUAAGUGUACUUCAUUACCAACUAUCUGGUGUGAUAAUAUAAGUGCAACAGAGUUAGCUAAGAAUCCAGUUUAUCAUUCAAGGACUAAACACAUUGAACUAGACAUGCACUUUAUUAGAGACAAAGUUUUGGCAAAGGAGUUGGAGAUUAACUAUAUUCCCAACGAGGAGCAAAUUGUUGAUGCUUUGACAAAGCCUCUGACAUUCAUUCACUUCAAUUAUUUCAGGGCCAAACUCAAUGUGCAACCAUGCCCUUGAGUUUGAGGGGGGCUGUCAAGGAAGCUCAUAAUGCAUGGAAGGAUGCAGCACACGUGUGAGAUGAAUGCAGUCAGCUGAAUCAAUUGAAGAGUGAAGUGCCAGCUCAGCUGAAGUUAAUUAGACACGUUUAGAUCAUAUUCAGUUAGUUUCUUCAUUUUCUGUUAAGCUGUAAACAACUGAGUAUAAAUACAAGCAUCUUGUAAUCAUUGAAGUUUUAAGCAAAAUAAAAUAAAGCAUUUGAUUUCAGAAGUCUUUUACAAUUUUCUCAGCACUUGAAAAUACAUUUUUUCAGUAACCAAACAAUUUGUUCAUUCAAGCUUUUAAGCUUUCAAACGGGCAGGAAGUAAGGAAACCUGCAUAAAUUUGUUUUUCAGAAUACCAUCAUUUUGAAAGUACUACAGAAAAAGAAAAGGCUAAUGGCAGUAAAAAUUCACUUACUUUCCAAACAUAGAUUCUUUGGAAAAUGCCUUUGGAUAUUUCUCUGCUGGCUAGAUUGCAAAAUUAUCCACGAAUAUAUAUAAGAACAAUAUUUAUCAAGCCAAACUACUAAAAAUUCAAAAAAAAAUGCCCAUAAUAAUCAAGUAAAAAUUGCAGAACCCGGGCCAGAAAGCCACCCACUGCAGGGCCAAUAAUCAAUCCUGUGCCCCAUGCUGUACUGAGCUGAAAUUAUAUUGUACCUAAAAAUGUAACUUUUAGAGUCUCUAGCCACUGAUGAGGACACGUCUUUUGUCUGCUAGCGGAAAGCGCGUGACGGCAUGUUUUUUGUCAGAGCCUAGAGACGAAGAGGGAAGGAAAAAAAAAUAUCAUUAAUUUUUUUUCCUCUCUCGGUGGGCCCCACGUAAGGUGGGGCUUUGGUUUUUGUCGCAUUCUGUGGAGGGUGUAUAUCUAAAUCAACCCCUUGAAUACGGACACGUGUCGAUCUCAGAGAAACUCACGUUUUGUUGUUGGGACCCAUUAAUUCCCGUAAAAGUCCUAUUCUUAAAACAAGUCGAUACGAUGAUCAAUACUCCGCCUGUGGGUCCCGGCGACGACCCCCUACGCUGGGCAGUACAACACUCAAAAAUCGCCACGUGUUAUAUUUUAAAAAGCUUUGGGGGAGCGAAUCGAUAGAUUUUUUCUUUUCGUGACAAAGCACGCGGGGGGGGGGGCCUCCCUGGUGGAUUUGCCCGCCGUUGAUCAAUUUGUUUGAUGAUAAAGAUUCAAGCAAUCAUACACGAACUUGAUUCAAUGGAGCUUCAAAAGAUUGGCAUUGCAGUGAAGUCCUGAGUCUUCUACUCAUCUUUUAACAACCUUUGCAGAAGCACAACAACAGGGACAAAUUCUGCAUAAUCGGGAAAAGAAAAAUCAGAAGACGUCAUAUUGAAAUGCAUUCAUAUUAAUUUGACAAGAAGAGAAUCAAACGCAGACCUCGUUAAAAAUCUUGUAUGCAUACGCAUAUAAGAGAAGUUCAAUAAUUGCGACGCAGGAUCAUUGCCGAAGCAUUAAACAAAUACGAGGCAGAGAAAGAGGAGCUCUGAGGAAGAGCGUGUUAGUGUGGUAAUACAAUAUCCUCGAUGCUUGCUGAAUGGUGGACAGUGGCGUUGGAAUAUCAUCUAAUAAAAGGAGAGAAAGAGGUGGCAACUGGCAAAGUGGGUGAGUGAAAGUUCAAGGCUGAAGCGGUUGGCUAAACUUUGUUAAAAAGAUGCACAUAUUGAUAAUAAUAUACGACCGUACGUUGUCUGUUAACUUGGAACUCUUUAGCAUUUAAGCGAGUCUCUCUCUCUCUCUCUCUCUCUCUCUCUCUACGAUUGGGAAUUGGGAUUUCGGAUCGGGAUCUACCGUAUUCUCCGUCUAUCCUAUGCAUGUCAUCAUACAUCAGUAAGCGUGCGUGCCUCUGCGUCUCCCCCUCUCCUUUUUACACAACUAUUUACCGUUACUAUUUCUUUGUCAAUUCCCUUAUUUCGUGGUACUUGUAAUAAGACGAAAUUAACAAAGGAAGAAAAUGCUAAGGUACUUCAUUAGGCACAUUUCUCAUGCGUACUUGAAAGUAAUCAGAACCGUUGAUCUUUCCCCGAUGGGCCACCCACUGCAGGGCCAGUAAAAUUUUCUCAAGACCUUUGCAAUCAUACACGAACUUUGCAAUCAUACAUUCCUAAAGUUUGGUGUUUAUGGCGCAAUAUUUCACAUGCAUAUGCCUGGUGUAAGAGAAGUUUGAGCACAAAUAUUUGCAAGAAUUAAAUUGGAAUUAUCAACAAAUACCCCAAUCAAUACCUUUAUUGCUCCAAGUAAACCAUUCAAAGCCCCAAGGAGAAACCUUGUAGCUAUGGCCAUCCAGAAAUUCACACUAAGCCCAAAGAGAGUGUUAAAAAUAACCCUGUGAGCAUUUUAAGACAAAUAAGAAACCCAGAAAUUGCCAACGUAUCAUCAAUUUCAAGCUUAAUCAUUUGAAAAUAGAGGUCACUAACAAUGUGAUGCAUCCUAUUAUUAUUACAGGCUUUCGACCGAAGCGGUCAGCUCCCAUUCCCCACAAAAAAGAUGUUAAAGCUCUGCCAAGCAUGUAUGAAGACCCUUCAAUUUCAUCAAGGUAUUAAGAGGUUUGUCAGGAUGGCUUCUUGAGGAAUUUGAAAUGUUACAUACAUAUAUGUUAAUUAUUUGUCAGGAUGGCUUCAAUUUCAUCAAGGUAUAAAGGCGCAAGUCUGCAGUGUAAAACCCUUGUACAGUACCUUUACAGUGUCGUAAAGCCCUCGGUAGAAUGUUUUUACAGAGUUGUAAAGGCGCGAGUCUGCACAUUUGUACCAAAAAAGGACUCCAUACCAUGUGUCAUUUAUUAAACACAAUAAAAUUAUAAAAAUACAUAAAUUAACUCACCCACGUAACCAGCAUAGAAUCCAAUAUCUUCCUCCCUUUUUGCAAUGUGAAAAUCCCUAAUCUGAAAAGAAAUCAUAACAUACUGUUGUGAAAAAGCAAUGAAUUGUUUGAUAGAUAAAACUUGUCUUUUCUUAUAUUUCUAAGAAAAUCAGCAAGCAUGAUAGAAAAAUAUAAAUUUUCUCACUAGUAACUACUCUGGUGAAGGCAACAACAGUCCACUCACCAUAAAAUAAAGAAAGGGAAAGAGAGAUGCGACCGGCAGAACUGAAAAAAAAAAAAUCACCAAAGAAUUAAGGACAAAACUAGAAGAGCACAAUAGGCCAAAAUCAUUGUAAAUGGUUCUCUCAAAAAUCAUUAUAUCGAGUUGAAGUUGAAAAAUUUACCAGUUGCAAGCACAACAAUCUAAAUUAUAAAAAGCUUGCGAAUUGGUAAGCCUCGUUCCGACUCUUUAAGCUUAUCAACCUUACAGCCUGAGCAGUUCUCAUAAUAUUUCUUCUUCAGCAGCGGCUCUCUCACUUUCGCCUCCGCCAUACUUGAAAAAUUUUCAGCUCAAGUAAUCGUCUUAGUCUAUGCAAUCCAAUUUCAAUGCCUAAAUAUAAGUACUAGAAAAUAAGUAACAAAAUCAAUAUGCUUAAGGAUAUAGUAGAACUAUAUAAGUGAUCAUUUAAAGAAUUUUCAAUAGAAUUGUAAAAUCAGUUGAUUUUGCAGCUGGGUCUGUCACCACCAUGGUAAUUAAAAUUAUUGGAUCCCAUGUAAAACAAAAUUUUUUCAUUACAUGCCCUCAUUGCUGACGUCCAAUUAAUCAUUACUCUUGUGAGAAUAAUUUUUGGUGACAAGAACGGCGGCAUCCUAGGACGUGACAAAAUAGUCACAAAAAUCCCUUAUUUUAAAAAAUGAUCAUGAAAAUUUAUCCACGGACACACAAAUUCAGGAUCUAUGUAACUAUUUUUAAAUACAAAAAGAGGUCUAUAUAUAUAUUUGAAAAUAAGGGAUAUUCAUGAUUACCAUGUUAAGCCACGAGAUGUCGUGCUGUUUUUUUAUUUUUCAUUAAAUCGUUGUUACACAAUUCGACAUGUAAAAGUAAUUUUUUUUUUUUGAGAGAUGGUAACAAACAUAGUGACAAAACUAUCAAAGUACCGUCUAAUGAUGAAACUAAUUGUUAAUUAAUUAAUAAAAAUACUAAGGUGACGUUUGUUUUUUAACUUAAUGACUUAAAGUGACUUAACUUAAUUAAUUAAGUUAAUUAGAGGUGUUUGUUUUUAUAACUUAAUGAGACUUUUUAGAUAAUUUUGACUUAAUAAAAUAAGCCAAUUUUUUUAGUUUUUUACUUAAUGGAGAAAUUUGAAUUAAGUCAAUUACUUACUAAUGUCAAAAAUAUCCAUGUUUUAUAAUUUAUUUUUCAUGUCUAUCCCAAAACUCACCCAUAGACAUUUAUCCCACAUAAAAAUAUCCUUGUUUUUUCUUUCUUAUAUUAUAUAUGAUAAAAUUUAAAAUUUAUGGUAUUUUAUAUAUAUAAAUUCCAAAAUAAUUAUGUAUUCACUUGAAUAUAGUUUUACUUAUAAAUGUUAAAAUAUUGUGGUAUUUAAUAUAUUAUUUAUUUGACUUUCAAAUUUAAUAAGGAUACAAAAGUAAAAGUACAUAUUUUCAGUUGAAAAAAACAAACAACUUAAUACUUAUUUUCUGAGAUUCAGACGAAAAAACAAACAUGUUAUUUAGAUUCAGACAUUCAGAUCUAUUCAGAAUUCAGACUAAUUCAGGUCUAUUCAGAUUUCAGACAAAAAAACAAACGCCACCUAAGUGAUUGUAGCAGUUCCGGUCACAGUCACAGUCAAAUACAAUUAGGAUAAUUUAAUUUAAAUAAUGUGUAAUUUAGCGUUAGCCCCAAUUGUUUUGACAUUUUGCAUUGUGCCCCCCAAUCUUCCGACCAUGUCCACCACCCUCAUUUCUUUCAAAUCUAAUGUUAACGGAAAGAGGGGUAGAAUGGUAAUUAACACAAAAUUAAAAUAAUAUAUAUAAUUAAAAAAAAAACCCUUUUUUCCUUCGCCGCCUCUAUAAUUUAAUUUUGGGUUUGAUAUCUUUAGUUUUAAGAUUUUUGAUUAUUGAGUUUCUUUUUAUCGAAUUUUCUUAGUAUGAAUUUAUUUUGUAAUAGAAUUUUACAAUGAAAUUUGCUCUCAGGGAUUUUGGUAUCAUUAGUUUAGGGUUUCUUUCUAUUGGGUUUUAUUUAUUUUGGUGGGAUUAUUGGACUUAUUUUGUAAUGUACUGAUGAAUGUGUGUUUGAUUUUUUUCUUUCACAUUGGAAUCAUGCUUUGCCUCUGAUUUUGUAAUUUACUAGGUUAUAAUCUUGGGUUCGUAAUCCGGAAAAAAAUUGUUUCCAUAUAAUUUUAAAAAUAUUAUAAUAAAUUUUUACUUUUUGAUUUAAAUUUUAUUAGUUGUAAGGGUAUUUUAGUACUUAUAUACCCAAUUCAUUUCAAAACAGGGGGUAGUAUAGUCUUUUAAAUUUAUAACAGCCUAAAUAGUUAGAUUAGUUGAUUUUUUAAUAGAAAUAGGGGGAGGUGCACAUGGUCAAAAGAUGUGGGUGCGCUGUGUGAAAUACUGAACAAUUGGGGGCUGAUACUUAAUUAUCCUUAAAUAAAUUAUUAGUUUAAUGGAAGGAACAAAAUUCAGGAAAAGAGGAAUCAAACUGCAAAAGGAAUUAGGAUACCUGAAAAGAAAGAAUGAAAAUAACUUUUUUUUAAAAUUAUUUAUUUGGACAUUGUGACAAACAAGUGAUGUGCAUUGUUAAUUCUGAUUACCCCAAAAUGUCGAGUCUUUAAAAACGACAACAUUACAUGAUUCAUGAGAAUCCUAUCACUUUGAGAUUAAUUUAAUUAAAAAAAAGUUCCGUUUGCUUAAUACUAAAAUGUCACACUGAUCCAUAGUUGAGCCAAUUAUCUAGUUAAAAGCUACCUCCAUAUUUUUUAUUUUUACCCUAAUGCAUGUUUGAUUCUUUUAAAAUUUUACGUUAUAUAUAUUAAACAAAAAUUAUAAUUUUAAUCAUUGGAAAAUUAAUGACAGACAUCUUUUGAAUAAUUUUUUUUUUUGAAAAAUACAGAGCUAGAGAUAAUGCUAUAAUUGAUUGAAUAAGAAGGCUACAACUUGAUGAUAACCUUAUUGCAAUGUUGCGUGAUCUCAAUAUAUUAUUGGCUUUUGUGUGAGUAAAAGUUGCUGGCUCGUGUUUUACUAAUUUGCCUUUGUAUUUGACUGGCUCGACAAAGAAUCGAUUUACCUCAUACUCAAAUUACAAACAUCAAAACCGGAUCUGUCAUUACGUUAAUUGGCCUCCUAAAAUAAUCAAUCACUUUCUCUUUAGUCUACCAUCCACUCUUUCCAGUCGUUAAUUAUUCUGUACCCAUCAGCUCUUUUAGCUCUUUACGUCGUGAUAGAAACCCUUUUCUUGUUUCCUUCAUCUCAUCUGAAAAACACAAUUGCUUGUCCUAUCGCUGUCUCUUUGUUUUUACUUUCGUUUGGCCUUCUUCGCUUCUACGUUUUUGUCAGGCUUCGAGAUGCUGGAAAUCAUUGUGACUAUCGUCUUGGAACUUGUAAAAUGCUUGGCUCCUCCAACUGCACGCCAACUUGUUUAUUUGCGAAAACGGAACUACAAUGCCAACUUUGAGAAUAUCAAGGCGGAAAUGGAGAAGUUGAAGGUUGAACGUACGAGCAUUCAGCGCAGGGUUUCAGAGGCGAAAGAAAAAGGGAAAGAGAUUGAAGAGAAGGUUGAAAAGUGGCUGGUUAGUGCGAAGUGCGAACGGCAUCAUUGACCGGGCAGCCAAAUUCAUUGAAGAUGAGGAGUCAACGAAUAAGCGCUGUGUGAAGGGCUUGAGUCCUAUUUGGAAGAGUCGCUAUCAGCUUAGCAAGAAAGCAAAGACGGAGGUGAAGGCCAUUAUUGAACUUGGAGAAGAAGUUAAGAAGUUUGAUACUGUUUCCCACCGUACCAUUCGGGAGGAGAUAUGGUUACGAGGCCUUCGAAUCAAGACUUCCUACUUUGCAGUCUAUAAAAAAUGCAUUGACGGAGGCGAAUGUCAGCAUUAUUGGGGUGUACGGCAUAGGCGGCAUUGGAAAGACCACACUGGUGAAGGAGUUUGCUAGGCAAGCCAGGGAAAAGAAGCUGUUGUAUCGGGUGGUUUUAUCAGAGGUUUCAUAAACUCCAGAGAUAAAAAAGAUUCAAGGGGAAAUUGCAGAGAAGUUAGGUCUGGAGUUGUCCGAUGAAGCUGAAUAUAGAAGAGCUAGCAAGCUGUAUGACCGAUUGAAGAGUGAGAAUAAGAUUCUUGUGAUUCUAGAUAAUAUCUGGAAACAUCUUGAAUUGGAGACGGUUGGAAUUCCUUUUGGAAAUAAUCAUAAAGGAUGUAGAUUGUUGCUGACAGCACGAGAUAAUACUGUGCUUUUAAGUAUGGGCUCCAAAGAUAACUUUUUGAUUGGCAAUCUAACUGAACAAGAAGCCUGGAGAUUGUUUAAGAUAAUGAAUGGUGAAGAUGUUGAAAAUUGUAAGUUCAAGUCUACAGCAAUUAAUGUAGUUAAGGCAUGUGGAGGUUUGCCCAUUGCGUUGAGGGCACUGAGAAACAAGAGUCUCCAUGAAUGGAAGAAUGCCUUGCGAGAGCUCCGAACGCCUUCAAUGGUAAACUUCGAAGGUGUGUCUGCAGAGACUUAUUCAAGUAUUGAGCUGAGUUUCAAUUAUUUAAGGGAAAUUAUCAUUUGUAUACCCUUAGUUUACUCCAUUAUCAAAAAUACUACAAUACUUUGAGGGUGUAUCAAUUGUCCACCCUAAGUUGACAAAAUGUAUCAGCUGACCACCAAACCGUUAGUUGCCGUUUAAGUAUGAUGACGUCAGAAGGGUAAUUUGGUCUUUUCAUAUGAUACAAGUGAUAAUUUAAGGGUAUAUAAGUGAUAAAAAGAGAAUUUAAGGGUAUACAAGUGAUAAUUUUCAAGGGUAAGAUUGUCAAUUCACUGUAACUCCGUUAACUUUCAAACGGCAACUAACGGUUUGGUGGUCGGCUGAUACAUUUUGUCAACUAAGGGUGGACGAUUGAUACACCCUCAAAGUGUUGUAAUAUUUUUGAUAAUAGAGCAAAUAUAGGGUAUAUGAAUGAUAAUUUCCCAUUAUUUAAAAGGUGAGCAAGUCAAGAAAAAUUUUCUGCUUUGUCGUCUAGUAGGUAACAGUGUUUGGUUUUCAGACUUAUUUAGAUACUCCAUGGGUUUGGGCAUAUUUCAAGGAGUCAACAUUCCCUUCAUAUUUACCAAAGGUAAGUGAUAAAUCCUACAUAUCCCACUCAAGAAUGCAUAAGUUUCUUCAAUCUCAAGUACCUAAAGUUUUCUUCUACGUUUAUAAAAAUUUCAGCACCAUCUCCCUAUAAUUCUCCAAGCUCACGACAUAGCUAUAUAAGUGUUUAUGUGUUAUGCCAAAACAACACAUGACACCCGUUCACCUAGAACGUACCCAGAGAACACGAGGAGCAGCUACUGAAAAAGCCAUAUUUAUGUGGAAAGAAAACUUCAGCUACUAGCUACCAGAGAGAACUAUGCAUUCCCAAACUGUCCAAGCCUGGACAAUUCAAGAAUUAUUAAUAGACAUAUGAUCCUCACUAUCAUCCAAAGAUGACACUAAUACAACAUGUGUCUAUUAAUAAUUUCUUAAACAAGUCUAAGCUUUCAAUGCACGUAUCAAAAGUUUAAAAUUGAAUCUGAAAUUUGAAUAACACAUAAAUAUCAUAAAUCUCUUCAAUUUAUUCCUGAAACAAUGUAGCAUUAUUUCACACGUCAUUUCUUAAGCAAAACCAUAAAAAAUACAAACGAUAAAUACAUUUUCCCACUGAUGCAGAUUAUGUUUACUGAGUAAUAAGUUUUAUGUCAUUCAUGUUGAAAUACUUCUGCCUAUUCUUUCAACAUAUAACUAGUACGUACACACAAUUAAUAAAUUUAAAAAAAAAAACUGGUGGUGAAUCUUGCAAAAUCUUCCUUUUUUCUUUUUUUUUUCUUUUUCUUCUUUUUUUUGGGGGGGGGGGGUGUGUUGGGGGAACUAUGAAUCUUGCAAAUCCUCAAGAAGCCAUGUUAAGACAAGGCCAGCUUACUAUUAGGGUAUGAAAGAUAAAACCUUUUAUUUCCUUUUCAGAAUAAAAAGGACAUUGACAGUGUUAAAAAAAAUCUAGAGGAUUUCAGGCCUCCAGAUCCUUACAAAUCAAGGAUAUUAAAAAAAAUUACUUAAGAGGAGAAAGGUUAUGCUCAUUUGUAUCUUGUUAGAAGAAAUUGAUCCAAAGCCUCAGUUUUAAUUUGCUUCAUAUAGCCAAUGACUAGGUGUUUAAAAACCAAUGAAUAUUUUUAUAAGAAAUCAACAAUAUUAUUGAAAGAAAAACCAAAUAAAAAUAAUAAAGCCAAUGAAUAGAUCAAGGCUCUUUGUGGUCUAAAACUAAUCAAACUAAGUUGUGGGCAAAGGCGAAUAUGUUUGUUUGGUCAAUAAUAAGCUCAACAAAUCACUAAUAAUCACCUAAUCACUAUUCCUUAUGCUAUGCAAUAUAAUGGCCUGGGUAAUGGCGCCAAGGCAGACAAUAAGUAGCUAGCCAGUUAUGAUAGUUGAUUAACUUAACCUACUGGAAAUCUGAAGACCAAAACGAAGAAGCUUUGUCUAGAACUAGAAUAGGAACGUUCGUACCCAAAACUAAUAUACACAAUUAAGAAACUUGAUUAUAUGUAUAUUUCUGUUGGCCACACUUAAAGAGAAUUUCCAAAAGAUGCUAAGGUACACCAAAUCCCACUAUUUCAUACUCAUAAACACAAAAAACCAUGGUAAAAAUUAAUGACUAUAUCAAAUAAAAUCGGUGAUAGGACGUUGAGAUUAGGACAACUUGAUUUGUAUACCGUAAAAUAACUAUAUCUGCAUGGUGAACUAUAUUUCUGUUAGAACUCUGAAGUUUUCUAUUAAAUUUUUUUCUCUGUUAGGUAAACCACUUAACUGAAGUGCUUAAGCCAAUUUUGACAAUCAUAGACAUAAAAGUAUUAAUAGGCUCAUUCAAGUGAAAUGAGCAUUAUUUCACACAUCCUUUAGGUUUUUAAGUCAUUUAGAAGUCAUUCAUGUUAAAAAAAAAAAAUUCAUAUACUUUCAAUAUAAUUAGAACAUACACAAUUAAUUAAUUAAAUAAAUCUGUUUCAGCUAGUAUAGGAACUUAAUUAAUCAAAGCUAGUAGUUAUAGCUAGGACUUGAACGAGGCACCUUUCAAAGUUCAAGAAGAGCAUCUGAACAUAAUGAAAGCACUUUCUAGAUAUGGUAAUGAUGCUUUACAUCUACAUGCUCUUACACAAUAUGAACUUUCAUUUACUCCAAGCUCUUAUUCUACAAGUCAAUUCAGUUUGUAGAUGCAAGCCAUUGUAAAAACUUUUGUAUUAUAAUUUCUGAAAAUAGAACGUAACAUUAUUAAUAUAGAAUCAGCAAUGUAUAUAACUUAUCAGACAAUAUAACAAGCACUUGGUGAGCAUACAAGAUAAACUAAAAUUUAAUAAUAUGUGGAAUUAAAGAUAAACUAAAAUUUAUGUUUAAACAUAAAUUUAAAGCAAAUCGAAUUGCAAAACAUUAGAAUGGAUGUUGGAAUUAAAGCUAAAUUCAAUAGUAAUUCAAAUGAAUCCAUUUGAACUUUGUAAAUUCCGCAGAACAAAAUUAAUUUGAGUGAGCAAACUCACCAAUGGAACAAGAACACAGGGGCUUCAACUUGUAGGAAUAAAAAAAUAUUGCUGGCGGGACAAAAAUUGACAAUAACGGCUACAAUACGAAUUAAAAAAAAAAUCAAAAUCUAUAAUUACAAGCUAAGUAAGAGAAGAAACUCAUAAUCACAAGCUUACCUCAAAAGAUGAAGGGAGAAUACGAUGAAGAAGAAGAUGCCCGGUGUUUUACGCCGUUCGCCGGCAACCAGUUAGGUUUACGAUGGUGGCUAGUCCAGCGAAUAGUUUUCUAACUGGAAAUAAAUUUAAAUUUCUAAAAUAGUACUAUACCGAACGGCUCUUCACCGUCACGUGGUUAGCAACACAUGUGACAGCAGUGUGGCCGUCACAUAAAGGGUAACAAAAGCAACUCGGGGUUACAAAGUUAGAAGUUAGUGGCAUGCGUAAUGGCUGCUUUUGCAUUCACAUUAGGGGUCACAUAUACCCUAUUUUCUUGUAGUACAUGGUAAUUUCUAUUUGAAAAUUGCUAAGUAUUUUAGAUUUGUACGAAUUCAUUUUUGUGUGCUCGUUGGAUAAUAAUAUAUAGUAAAUUAAAUUUUUGGUGUAAUUUUUACAAUAUUGUAUUAGAAAUAUGUCUCGUUGAAAGGUUUUGAAAUCGUUUUGAUUGAUCAUAAUUGAUAUUUCGACAGUUGCAAAAGAUGCCAGAGAAAAUUUGAUUAUCUUAAGAAAUGAGUGCAUGAGAUAUGAAAUCAACCAUACCAUAAAAUCAAAUUUUAUCAUGUCAUCCUUCCUGGUUCAAAUUUAUGGAAACAAUAAUCAAAUGCAUCCAUGAACUAGUAUAUUCCGACAUAUGUACCAUCAAAUUUUUGCUAUAUCAUACUUAUAUAUGUAUAUUGAAAUUUUAAUAACAACAAUUGGGCCAAGCAUAUGUUGGUACUUGAAUAUUUAUAAGCUCCAUCCUUGAAAAAAUAAGGCUUGACUGUUCUAAAUCUAAUUCUUUUUGUUUUAAGUUCUUAAUUAAGCUUUCUUGCUUGUUUUCAAGAGCCAGUUUUGUAAUGAUCCAUAAACAUGAUUUGCAUAUACAGUAUUGCACUUGGCAUAUACAGUAUUGCACUUGGCAUUUAUGUAUCACUUAUUAAUUAGAUUUAAAUUUUAUAAAUUAAUUAAGCUGAUUAAUAUUUUAUAUGUGCACUAAAUGAUAGAUACUACAUAAAUUGGGACACUAUAAGUACGUAUCCCAACUAUGUAAUAUUUGUUUGUCACAAACCCAAUCAUGACCUGAUAUUCUGAAUAUUAUUUAGGAUACCAUUUCAAGCCCCAUGAGGGCUCUUUCCAUUAAAAAAAAGUAUGAAAUAGAUGUAGAUUUUUCUUUAGAUAUUAUUAGUGAGAGUACCUUUGGUGGCAGUGGUCCGGGAUGAUUUGGGAUUUGACAAUUCUACUCUCAUCUUAAUUAUCAAAUGAAAUGUAAGUAGAGAUAAACUCGUCUUGUUUAUAUAUUUGUGAUCAAAAUUAGGACCAAUAUCUAACCACUCACAAUCAUGUCCCAUCCUAACUAUCCUGAAUGUCUCGAUUGCCUCCCUUAAUUAUCUUUUUAAUUCUCAUUAACAUAUUAGCAAAAUUUUCAUAUAUUAAAAAUAUUAGGGUCCGACCAUCUAUACUUUAAAAAUCAUUAUGAACACUCAAUUAUUUAUGCACUCAGCUAAUAAAUUUAAAAAAUUAAGUUUUACUUUCUACGCUUUUUUUUAGGAGUACUUUCUACACUUUUUAAAAUAACAAAAACAUCUUUACAUGAACCUAAUAAGCUUAUUUAAAAAAAUUAAAUCAACUAUUUUUAUUUAUUCAAAAUACUAAUAAAAAUAUUUAGCAAACCGUGAAAGAAAUUUUUUAAGAAAUUUAACACGAUUUUAGUUAUUACUUAUUGUUUAUUAAAGAAUGUGUUCACUAUUGUUUUUAAUUUUGUUAGUAAAAAAAAAAGAAGAAGAAGAAGUUUGGGUUUAAGAUACAUUUAAUUUUUAGUGUAACAGUUGUAAUAUAUAGCUUUAUUUACCCAAGUGGGCAAUACAUUUAAUUUUUAGUGUAACAAUUUUAUUCAUACGAUGCUUUUAAAACUAAAAGUACUUUUAAAAAUAAAUUUUACUAAAUGUUCAGCUGAUUCUCUUGACAAUUGAUCAAUUUCUACAGCAUAGCUAAUUGUAAUUAUUUUAAAAGCUACAGGAUUACCAAAUUGACCCUAAAUCAAACCAAUAAAAAUGUUUAAAAGUAAUAAUUAUAAACCAAAGUAAACGUACAAAAAUUCAUGCAUAAAUUGAUAAUCAACAAAAACAUCCACAAGUUUAACUCCAAGUUUUCUAUUCAAUUGACAUAACCCUUAAAUUUCAAAAGGCAUAAUCAAUUUUGUGUCUAAUCCUAUAAAAUUAGAAAAUUAAAGAAUAUUAUAUACUGAUAAUUAAAUAAUAUGCAAUUAAUAACGUUAAAAAAUAAUGUUAAACAUAUUGUCAACUAAAAUAAUUGGGAGAAUUGGAGUUCCAAGAUAAAUUCUUAUCUAGUCCCAAAUCAGCAAUUGGGAUUAACGAGCUACUAUUGAAAUUAAUGUUAACAACAAAAAUAGAUGCAAAAGGAGAAACAAGCAUCGUGUACAGUACCCACUGUGAACUGCUCACAUUGGAAUAAGUUGUUGGCAGCUGGUCAAAAAUUCAAUGUUGAUUUUGAUCCCACUAAAUUAAGUCAUCAAAAAUUACUUUCCGUACAAUGAUGAUUGGGCUGCAUAUAUCAUUUAUUAUUAACUAACUUAUGAAAUGCUUUAAAUGUACCUCCUAGGUCGUAUUAUUUACUAUACUAGUUAGGAUAAAUUGCAAUGUUAAAUUAUUUGAUAAAUACUUAUUAUAAUUUAAUAAAUAUGUUAAUUUUGUCCUCCACUUUAUGAUAAAAAAAUUUAUAAUAUAUAUAAAUCAUUUAUUCUAUAAUCUUAAACUUUAUUAAAGUUCGAAAAACUAUUACUCUAUAUGAUAUAAUAGUGUGAUGUAAUUACACUAUUAUACCAUAUAAAAUAUAUUUGCUUUCUUAAAUUUUAAUAAAGUCUAGGUCUUGGACAGAAACACUUUAUAUAUGUAUGUAUAAUGAUUCUCUAGCAACGACAUUCUCAUUUUAACAAAGUAAUAAUAUCACUAACAAACUAAAUAACACAUAUUUCAAUACACCAAUAAAUAAAAAAAUAAUUUUUAAUGUGUUAAAAUAUGUCUUUUGUAUAUUAUUGAUAUUUUCACUUUAACAUAGUGAGGAUCUCCUCACUAUAGAAGUACUUUAUAAAUAUUCUUUGUAUUUUAGUUCUAAGCUCUGUUUCGUGUAUCAUCGACACAAUGAGGCAUAGCAUCUAAAAGUCGGCAGCCAUGCAACUUCUUGGAAUCUUCAUGCAAGUGUUGGAUAUCGACUGUUCGAUAACGAUGGCAGCAUUGGACUGGACUGUAAUUGACGCAGAUAUUGUCAGAUAUUUCAUUGAUUAAGGAUCACAAAUAAUGGCUAUUGGAUGAGGAUCACAUGUUUUAUGACAGUGGUAAUGGCAUGCUACUAAUGUAAGUCAAGCAUUACUUUUAAAUAAUGAUAUUAUAAUUAAAAAUCUAAAAAUAUUUAUAAUACCUAAAGACUAAUUCAGAUUAUUAAUUUGUUUAUAUGACUUAAUUAUUAGCUGACAAAUAAUUAAAAAGUCAUGGAACAAUAUUUAAUUGACGCAGUGGAAUAAGGAUCACAAAUAAUGGAUAUUGGAUGAGGAUCACAUUGGAGUGUUGUGAUACAACACAUAUUCACAAAAGCGUUGUUGAUGAAGUCUAGUACUCUAAUGCUACUUUAUUAUGUGGGGGCAGAGCAGUAAAUUUCAAAGCGAAAUUAUAGAUGUGUUUUAUAAUGGGAUUCAUAAGAUUUUAUUUUUAAAAAAUUAGUAAGGUUUAUUGAGAGUCUCACUAUAGCACAUGAGAAAAUAUCAUUAGAGAAGUUCAUCAUGACCUAUCUCGUGUAAAUUUCUCUUCUAGCAAUUGUGAAUUUGAGUUUAGUUUUAGGGCUCAUUUAAACUAUGGUACCAUAGUGGUGCCAUAUUAUAAUUGGGUCUAACCAUUGACAACUCUGAUGACUACCGUAGAGUGGAUUCAAUGGUACCACUUUAUCAGGUAUUAUUAAUUUUUAUUUCAAAAAUUGAAACUUUCAGUUUAUUACAACUGACAGCUGACCCCACACAUUUCGAUGAUUAUAAUUUAGGCCAAAACUACAUUGCGUCGGGGGUUUGGUACCCCACUCCUUUGUCUGUUAGCAAGGUCAGCGUUGGAUUUGAUCUGACGGCUGCAGAAGGGACACAAAUAUAAAGAGGAGUAACCUGAGGUAAAGGUAAUAAGCCGGUCACCUGCAGAAAAUAAGUGUAUGAUAAAAUAACACAUGCAAUAAAUUUUGUUUGUUUUUUUUUUUUUUUUUUGAGAAGACACAUGUAAUGAACUUGCUGGAAGCGUAUAUGCAAGUAAUGGUUGGAAACAACUUGCUGGAACCGUGCAAGUAUUGGUUGGGCUAAGACUGACAUGAAAUUUCCCCAAUAGUGUCCAAAACAUUUGCAAAUAGUUAAUUCAAAGCGUAAAUAAAUGCUGGAAAAAAUACGUAUUUUUUAUUUUAUUAUUAAGAAUACAUCUUUUGAUAAAAAAAGAUAAAUGAUUAAUGGUACAUAUUAGUAACAAAUAUACUAAAAAAAUUAUCCAUAUAUUUGAAAAAAAAUUGUUAACAAUACAUAUUUUUUAGAAGUACACAUAUUAUACCAUACAAAAAUUGAGUUGUAUCAUGGACAGCCAUAAACUAUGAACAAAGAUUACGAUCGAAACUCCACAUGCAUAUUUAAUUUGUACAUUUUUUUCAGAAUGCGUUUCCCACCAUGGGAAUAACCAAGGUUCUUCAGGCAAAACACUACGGUAAUUCAUUAUCAUAGACAGGAAAAAGACAAUGGCAAAGAUCAAUAAUUUAACACAUAAGAAUGAGUGAAUGACAACAUCAAGUGAGAACCAUGCACAAUCCUUUUUAUUAGAGAUCCUUUCUUAAAUCUUAAAUAAGAACAUUAAAUAAGCUUGAAAAAUAUUGGUAACUGACCCAAUACACAUCCAUCUAACGGAAAACAGCGGACAAUUUGAUGCAUGUGUGGAGCACUUGAGGAAACAGAGCAUCCACAGAAUGCCUAAAUUUGAAAAAAAAAAAAGAAAAUAUUUGCAUUUGACGAAAAGGACUUUGAGCGUUCAAAUACAAAGUGUCAAUUAACCUUACAAGAUACAUCAACCAUCAGAUAUGCUCAACAUGCAAUACCAAAUUAAAUUACCUAUCUCCAGGGUUGGAUUUGUCUUCAAUCAGAUGAAUGUUGGAGAGAAUAUAAUUGAAAGAAUGGCAUCAUCUACCAUGCAAGGUAAGGCUCCUUACAGGUGCUCAAUAUGACACCACAAAAGAAAAUACAAUAUCAUAGACACAUCACCAACAUAUAUGCAAACAACCAAUUCUCACAGCAUGUAGUGCAACAACUCACAAAAUAUGAAAUUUAACAUCAUCUAAGCAUUUUUCUCAUUAAAGAACCUAACUGAAAGUAGUAAACAUAGAGACAUAUAACAGCUUUAUAAGUACAGACCACAAAGUAGAACUUUGUUCGAAUGAUAACGAUCAUAAUCCACAUUAUAAACGCAGUGAAAUCAUCAAAUGAAAAUAAGAACACAGUACAUAAUUACACAGAUAUUAGGCUUAAUUAAUUAUUUAGAUUAAAACACCACUUCACACAGCUUCCUUAGCUGGAAUCUUCUCAUAUCUCAUCUUCUUAGGGCUCAAAUCAUCAUCAUGAUCAUCAACAUCAGUGAAUUCCUCAUACGAAUUGCGAGAAUCGUGACGAUUAGCAAAAAGGCUCCACACCAAAUACAUGGUAAUGUCAGUAAGCGAACUGCACCCAACGCCGAAAAGAAAAGCGACUGGUUUGGUCGCAUAGAGAGGAGAAGUCGUGCUCGAAGGGCAAAAUGCGACGUUUUGGCUCGUGGAUGAGGUGCUGCUCCCAAUCAUCGAUUGAAGGGAGAAUCAGACAGUCGAGGAAGAUUAAGGGACGAUGGGGGCUGAAUUGGCAAAUUUCGGUGAAGAUUGUGACAAAUCUAAUGGGGUUUUCGGAGUUAGAGUUAGGGCAGCGGGAAUUGAAAUGGAUCAAUUAAGAGGAAAUGAAGAGGGUUUUGCAUGGCCUUUUGGAGGCUGAAAUUGAGAGGACACCAUGAAUAUUGUGAGAGCUAGGAGGAGACGCUGAGUCGAUGACGCCAUUGAUUCGUACCACACAGCUUCGAUUGGAAAUGGAGCCUCUAAUUGCUUUAGCCGGUUACCCAUUUUUCAAGUGUUAAAUCUCAGCCGUUGACUACCUUUCUUUACGAUCUAAAGGGUCAUUCGCAAAAGGACAAGCGACUGGGGUACCAAACCCCUGAUGCAAUGUAGCUGGAUCCUAUCUUUCAUUCACAAUAUGCCAGCAAAUGUUAAUUACGAAUAAUUUAUGUCCUUCACCCCUGACAUUGAUAUUAGCAAUUUUCAGUUAAAAGUUAAAUCAUCCCAGCAUUAGCAUUUUUUCUUAAUUAGAGUUGAAUAAUUAUGCCCAAUUGUAUAACAUCAUUUUAAUUAAUAGAUUAGAAACGUGAUUCACGUUUGACAAUAAUUUUCUCUUUUGCUGUUUUGUCGUUAUAGUUUACUGAGACGAGAAGAAAUAAUUGCUCGUUUGGAUACUCUCUGUAUUCACAUUUGACAAAAUAAAUAAAUAAUUUCUUUUUACUGUUUUGUUCCUUUUACUGUAUGAUAUUGAACAAAAUAAUUUUUUUCAGAUCGCUCAAUAGAAUUGCUUCAAAUCAGUUUUACCAGUUAUAAUUCAUCAGCUCCUACUCUUUGCGUUCAAUUCUCAGUCAAGAAAACCUCUCCUGAUUUUCGUCUUUUGAUCUCAUACACACUCUGCUUCUGUUCAUCGUGGUCGCUGCUCGUGCUAGCCGUUUUCUUAUUUAGCUUUGCUCCCUUCUGCCAUCACCUCUCUGUAUACUCAUUGGAUCAAGAAACCCUUUUCUUGUUUCAAUUUUCUGAUCUCAACAACACUUUGAUUCUCAUCCAUUACACUGAUUUUUUUCCUUAUUUUGCUCAAAUACAAUUUCUCUUCCUAAUUUAGUCCCGUUCCCUUUCACCGUCAUCUGUUUUUUCUUCGGCUUCUUCAUUGAUUAACAAUUGUCCAGUCGUUUCCCCUGUUCUUUUUCUGUUUCUUUCACUUCAGAUCAAUCCAUCCUCCCACAACACACCCCCCCCCCACAAAAAAAAGAAAAGAAAAAGUAUUGAAGGUGAUGGAAUCCAUUGUUACUGUCGUUUUAGAGGUUGUAAAAUGCUUGGCUCCUCCAGCACAACACCAACUUCGUUACUUGCGUAGCUCCAAUGACAACUUUGAGAAUCUGAAGGCUGAAACCGAGAAGCUCAAGGAUAAAAGUAGGAGCAUUCAACGCAGAGUUUCAGAGGAUGAAAGAAAAGGAGAAAAGAUUGAAGAGGAGGUUGAGAAAUGGCUGGUUAAUGCGAACAAGAUCAUUGACCAUGCAGACAAAUUCAUUCACGACGAGGAGGCAACAAAUAAGCGAUGUCUCAAGGGUCUAUGCCCUAAUCUGAAGACCCGCUAUCAGCUUAGCAAGAAAGCAGAGGCAGAGGUGAAGGCACUUGGCAAAAUCCGAGAAGAAGCUGCAAGAUUUGAUGAUAGAAUUUCCUACAGUACCAUUCCGGAGGAGAUAUGGCUCAAGUCUCACAAAGGCUACGAGGCCUUCGAGUCAAGACUUUCUUCUUUGAAGGCCAUACAAAAUGCAUUGAACGAUGUUAAUGUUAGUGUCGUUGGGGUGUACGGCAUGGGCGGCAUUGGAAAGACGACACUGGUGAAGAAGGUCGCCAGGCAAGCUAUGGAAGACAAGCUCUUUGAUAUGGUGGUCUUUUCAGAGGUUUCGCAAACUCCAGACAUAAAAAAGAUUCAACAGGAAAUUGCCGAGAAGUUGGGCCUGGAGUUGCACGAGGAAGUUGAAUCUAGAAGAGCAAGUAGACUAUUUGAGCGAUUGAGAAAUCACAAGAAGAUCCUUGUGGUUUUAGAUAACAUUUGGAAACACCUUGAUUUGGAGACAGUUGGAAUUCCUUUUGGAGAAGAUCAUAAAGGCUGCAAACUACUGCUGACGGCAAGAGAUCGUAGUGUCCUCUUAAAAAUGGGUUCUAAAGACAACUUUUUGAUAAACAAUUUAAAUGAAGAAGAAGCCUGGAGAUUGUUUAAGAUGAUGGCCGGUGAUGAUGUUGAAAAUCGUGAGUUGAAAUCUACAGCAAUAGACGUCGCCAGGGCAUGUGGAGGUUUGCCCAUUGCCUUGACCACAGUAGCAAAGGCACUGAGAAGCAAGAGUCUGCAUGAAUGGAAGAAUUCCUUGCGAGAACUCCGAACGCCUUCAAUGGUGAACUUCGAAGGAGUAUCUGCAGAGACUUAUUCAAGUAUUGAGCUGAGUUUCAACCAUUUAAAAGGUGAGCAACUCAAGAAAAUUUUUCUCCUCUGUAGUCUAAUGGAGGGCCAUAUUACUUUGGACUUGUUUAAGUACUCCAUGGGUUUGGGUAUAUUUAAAGGAGUCAAUAAGAUGGAAGAUGCACGAGACAAAUUAUAUGCAUCGGUCCAUGAACUUAGAGACUCUUGUUUGUUGCUUGAGGGUGACAGCAAUGAAGAAUUUUCAAUGCAUGAUGUCGUUCGCGAUGUCGCAAUAUCAAUUGCAUGCCGCCACCAACAUGUGUUUUCGGUGAGAAAUGAUGAGGAUGUGUGGGACUGGCCAGAUGAGGAUGCACUUCGAAAAUGCAAUGCUAUCUCUUUAAUAAAUAAUAGUAAUCGUGAAUUUCCUGAAGGAUUAGAAUGCCCAAACCUUGAAUUUUUAGGUGUCUUUCUCAAAGAUUUUUCUCUUGAAAUCAAUAUUCCUGAGAACUUUUUUGUAGGGAUGAAAAAGCUUAGAGUUCUAGAUUUUACUCGAAUGCAGUUUUCUUCUUUUCCAUUUUCAAUUGAUCUUCUAGUAAAUCUUCACACACUAUGUCUGAAUCAAAGUGCGUUGGGCGACAUAGCAAUCAUUGGGAAGUUGAAGAGUCUAGAAGUCCUUAGCUUUGUGAGGUCUGAUAUUAAGAAGUUGCCCGAAGAGCUAGGUCAACUGUCUAAGCUAAGGCUGUUAGAUUUAACAGACUGUUUCCUUCUGAAAGUUAUUGCCCCAAAUGUCAUAUCAAGCUUAAUCCGAUUAGAAGAGCUGUAUAUGGGUAAUUGCUGCAUUGAAUGGGAGGUUGAAAGAGACAACAGGGAAAGAAGUAAUGCUAGCCUUGACGAAUUGAUGCAUUUACCUCGGCUAACCACUCUAGAAAUUGACGUUAAAAAUGACAGUAUUUUACCAGAAGGUUUUUUGGCCAGAAAGCUCGAAAGGUUCAAAAUAUCCAUUGGAAAUGAGUCAUUCAUGCCUCCCAAGAGUAUUACAAGAGAAUGGUUUCAAAGCCGGCCGCACUUUUUGAUCAACAGUAAUCGUGAGAGUUUAAGAGAAUUGAAGCUCAAGCUUGAUUUUAUGGACAUUUGCUCCAUGAAAUUGCAGGGCAUCAAUAACGUUGAAUACCUAUGGUUUGACAAGCUGCAAGGUGUCAAGAAUGUUCUUUUUGAUUUGGACACAGAAGGCUUUUCACAAUUGAAGCAUCUCCAUGUUCAAAAUAAUCCUAACUUCCUGUGUAUCGUGGACUCAAUGGAGAUGGUAGCUUGUGAAGCCUUUCCUCUUUUGGAGUCACUUAUCCUUCACAAUUUGAUCAACAUGGAGAGGAUAUGUAUUGAUCAGCUCAAAGUAGAGUCUUUCAACGAACUCAAAAUCAUAGAAGCAUAUAAUUGUGAUAAAUUGAGUAAUAUCUUUUGGCUCUCUACUACAAAAUGCCUUCCAAGACUUGAGAGAAUUGCAGUUAUUAAUUGCAGCAAGAUGAAAGAGAUUUUUGCAAUUGGGGAAGAAGUUGAUAAUGCAAUUGAGAAGAUAGAGUUUGCUCAAUUAAGAUCUUUGAGUCUGGGGAAUCUUCCAGAGGUUACAAGUUUUUGCCGCGAGGUGGAGACUCCUUCAGCAUCACCAAACAGACAAGUGUCGCAAGAGGAAUCGACGACUAUGUAUAGCUCCAGCGAAAUCACUUUGGAUAUUUCAACUCUGCUUUUCAACGAGAAGGUGCGUAGGCUAACAGAUUUUAUUCUAUCAUGCGUUCUGUUUUGAUGUCAUACGUGGAAAAUAAUUAAAUCAUUUAAAGAAUUGAAAGAAAAUGGAAAAAAGGAUAAAAAGAAUCUCACGCGCUCACUAAUUGAGCUCUUAACAAGUAGUAUGAAUUAGAAUGCAUACUCAGCUGUCAGUUGGAAAUUGAUUCUGACUUGCAUUAAUUUGUAAUCAAAGAAGAAAAUUUCAACAAGUGCUUCCCAUAUGGAUAUUGGAUCUAAUAAGAAAUUCUUAUUUUUUUAGGUUGCGUUGCCUAACUUGGAGGCUCUGGAGAUAUCUGAAAUUAAUGUCGACAAGAUUUGGCACUACAAUCAAAUUCCGGCGGCCGUGUUUCCUCGCUUUCAAAAUUUAACACGAUUGAUCGCGUGGCGUUGUCACAAAUUAAAAUACAUAUUUUCAGCGUCUAUGAUCGGAAGCCUUAAGCAGCUCCAACACCUAGAAGUAUGGUUCUGUGAGAAUUUACAGGAGAUCAUUUCUGAAAACAGAGCAGAUCAAGUGAUCCCUUAUUUUGUCUUUCCACAGCUCACCACUCUGAUACUCCAAAAUCUACCAAAACUUAGAUGUUUGUACCCUGGAAAGCAUACUUCGGUAUGGCCCGCGCUAGAAAUUCUUGUAGUGUAUCGUUGUGACAAAUUAAAGAUAUUCGCUGCAGAUUUAUCGCAGAAUAAUGAGAAUGAUCAACUUGGUAUUCCUGCACAACAGCUCCCAUUGCCAUUGGAAAAGGUAUGAAGCCAUUUUCUAGAUUUUUUAUCAAUAGCUUAUUUUUAACUUUGAAAAAUAUGACAAAGCAUCGAUAAAUUAAUACUCAAUAAAUUGAAAACUUUUAUUAUACAAUAAUCUUUGCUAGUCUAGACUAAGGGAUCAAUGUGAUAGAUUAAUAAUUAUAUGAACUGUUUUAGGUAUAGCAUUUAUAAAAGAAUCCUUAGUCUUUCCAUAUAGAAGAACUUACAAAAUAAAUUAGUAAUUUAUUAUUGUGCAAUAAAAUAAUUUCGAGCCAGUAUAAAUCAACCUUUUUUCCCUAAUUUCUUUUUUACCUCUAAAAUUAACAUAUAAAAUAAAUUUUAUCACUAAUUCAUUUUUUUUAAAAAUAUAAUAUAAAACAAAUACUAUAAAGUCACUGCAUGUGACCGUAGAUCAUCAAUUGACCUCAUUAGUUAUUAUGAUUGAUGAUGAUCAGAUCGUACCCAACUUGAAGGAACUAUCACUAAGUGGAAAAGAUGUGAAGAUGAUUUUGCAGGCCGAUUUCCCACAACACCUUUUUGGCAGUCUUAAACAACUAGAGAUUAUUGGAGAUGACUCAGCUUGUUUUCCAAUCUGGAACGUACUGGAGAGAUUUCACAAUAUCGAAAUACUCACUCUGUUUAAUUUUUCAUCCCACGAAGAGCUAUUUUCGAUGGAAGGAUGCUUAGAGAAACAUGUGGGGAAGUUGGCAAUGAUAAAAGCAUUAGAGCUGCGCUGGCACUAUCAUCUGAAGCAGCUGUGCAAACAAGACUCCAAACUUGGCCCCAUUUUUCAGUAUCUUGAAAUUCUAGGAGUACAUCAUUGUCAAAGUCUGUUAAUUCUAUUGCCAUCAUCAUCGGUAUCUUUUCGGAACCUAACAAAACUUUUAGCUUUCGGUUGCAAGGGAUUGAUGCACUUGGUAACAUCCUCCACAGCAAAAACUCUAGUGCGAC